RNAcentral lists this long non-coding RNA (64642 nucleotides) under Hordeum vulgare. RNAcentral describes it as "long non-coding RNA (HVUL_LNC000823)". The record is from RNAcentral. Lineage: Eukaryota; Viridiplantae; Streptophyta; Magnoliopsida; Poales; Poaceae.
CGCAACAUCGGAUUGCACGGAAACCGCUCGGGUAGCGAACCAGAAGAAGGGAGGUUACGGACGGAAUUUGCGGAGACGCCGAGGUCGCGCUACGACUAGUACCUGGCAGCGCUGGCGUUUCUGCUGCUGCACGGCGUCCCAGGCGGCGGCGUCGGCGGCACGGCAAGACGACGCGCCCCCUUGCAUGUGCGGGUACCUGGGAUGGAUCAUGGAGCCGAUCAAAAAACUGCUUGGAAACACAAUCGACGGCUGAUUCUUCGAAGGGGGGGNNNNNNNNNNNNNNNNNNNNNNNNNNNNNNNNNNNNNNNNNNNNNNNNNNNNNNNNNNNNNNNNNNNNNNNNNNNNNNNNNNNNNNNNNNNNNNNNNNNNNNNNNNNNNNNNNNNNNNNNNNNNNNNNNNNNNNNNNNNNNNNNNNNNNNNNNNNNNNNNNNNNNNNNNNNNNNNNNNNNNNNNNNNNNNNNNNNNNNNNNNNNNNNNNNNNNNNNNNNNNNNNNNNNNNNNNNNNNNNNNNNNNNNNNNNNNNNNNNNNNNNNNNNNNNNNNNNNNNNNNNNNNNNNNNNNNNNNNNNNNNNNNNNNNNNNNNNNNNNNNNNNNNNNNNNNNNNNNNNNNNUGGGGGGGGGGGGGGGGCGCACUCGGAGGCGUCCAUGGCGAGGUCCAAUGGGUGUCACGGCAAGUGGCGGGGGAGGGGCCGAGUGGGGGGUGCGCGGACGAGGGCGAGGGCGUUGUGCGCGUAGCGGUGCGCAGGGGCGGACGCAGAGUAACAUUAGUCGUGUGCCGCCACCGACCGUCGAUGACGCGAGCUCCUUGCGGGACCAGCCGGCAGUGAGAUCACACGCCGGUGGCCCACGCGUGAAGGGGGCCUUUUCCUUUUUAUUUUUGUUUCCGUGCGGCGACGACUACUACCGGGCCUGGGAGGCGGGCUACGGCCACCGAGAAAGCGACCCACGCGCGGGGAAGCCAAGGCCGGAGUCCGGGUUCGGGCCCGAGGUCAGUGAGAGAGUGGUAUGAGGAUAGGCCUACCGAGGGGAGCUGCUCGUGCUUUCAGGUUGCCCCUCUGUGCGAAGGGCCAUCUAGAAGGUUCUUGAACCGGGUUUUUUCCUUUUUUUUUCUGGGCCGGCCCAGUCGGGCGACCCCCUAUGCAUCCGCUCGGCCGUUGGCCGUAACGAGCGGCGCAUAGGAGGUCCCCUCUUUCAGCGCCGGUACGGGAUAGUGGCGCUUUAAGCGCCUCGAACUUGGGCCGGCCCAACGCGGGUGCUCGCUCGCUCCACUGCUCGAUCGCUCUGUAACCUCCCUGAUUCAUUUGUUACUUUUUCAGUCACGGUUGAACCAUCAACCUUUAACCAGUCAACUGUUGGAUUAAAAAAAAAUCAUGAAUUCAAAAAUAUUCAUGAAUUUCCAAAAGACGUUUACAAACUUCAAAACACUGACAAAUUUAGUCAAAAAACAUCAAAUUUAAAAAACUUCACAAAAUUUAUAAAAAAUAUCGNNNNNNNNNNNNNNNNNNNNNNNNNNNNNNNNNNNNNNNNNNNNNNNNNNNNNNNNNNNNNNNNNNNNNNNNNNNNNNNNNNNNNNNNNNNNNNNNNNNNGGUGGCCGAGGUGGUGGAGUUCUGGUGGGGUGGGUCGCCGGUGGGGAAGGGGGCACUCCGGUGGGGGUGGGGAAGGAGUGGGGCAACGAGGUGGAGGUGGAGAGGGUGCAGGGGGAGGGGCCGACGUGGGAGACUCCUGGCGAUGGGGAGGGGAAGUAGCAAUGGCGGGGUGCAAGGCGAGGGAUGGGGUGGGGCGGUGGAGGUUCCUGGGGGGAGGGAGGCAAGGUGGAGGGGGUUUGCAGGGGGGGCCGAAGGGUGAGAAGCUCCUGGCGAUGGGGAGGAGUGUAGGGUGGUGGCGAGGUGGAGCUCCUGUGAUGUUCUGUGGUGGUCAACUCCGGCGAGGUGGUGCGCGAGCUAGGGGCGAGGAGAGGCGGCGGUUUCAACGGGAAUGGAACGAGGAGGCGCAGGGGGUUCUUAUAGAGGCGACGGGAGGCGCUAGGAAGGAAUGAGCUUCACGAAUCCCGGAGGUGAAGAUCUCUCUCUCCAUGGAAGGAAAACUUCCUGUGACGUGAGGGAGAGAGGAGGAAGAAGAUGAUCUUCUUGGGCCAGUGAAAGGAAAGUCUUAAUGGGCCACCUGGAGUUUCCUAAUAAAAACGAUUCCUUUCCUAUUUUUAAAACUAGGAAACUAAAACAAUAAAAAGGAAAUCAAAUCAAUUCGGAAUAAAGAGUUUUUAUAUACUAAAAUUAUCAGAAAAAUAAAAUAUAAAUGAUGGGCAUUUUUCCACGGCAAAAAUAAAAACUUCAGAAAAAAUUAUUUUCACAAAAUUGCCUAAAAGGUUUAUUUUCUUUUGCAAAUAAUUUUCAAAUGACCCUCUAAGUUUGAGGGUCAAAAUAACUUACAAAAUGCCCGUGGGUUCGAGGGUCCUGUUCCUCCUCUCUAGAAUGUAUUUCCCGGCAUUUUGUUGCACGAAGAAAACGAAUGGAAAUGCAAAAGAAUUCAAUGCAAAUAUCUCCGUUCGAAUUCUUUAUAGUUGAAGAAGUCAUGUCAUCUUCUCUCAUUGUUUUUAAAAGAUUGAAUUUGAAUUCACCGAAGAAGGGGAAAGUCAUUUUAUUCCCUCUCAUUCAAAAGUUUCAAAAAGUUUCAAAUUUCACACAAGUUUCAAUCACUCAGCAAACAAACAAACAAUCAAUAUAAUAAUUAUAUUAACAUUCCAAAAUUUAUAAUUUUGGGAUGUUACACUUUAUGAUAUAUUGUUGUUCUAUGUGUGAUCAUGAUGCCCUCAUGUACGUAUUAUGUUUUAUCGACACCUUCGUCCCCAAACAUGUGGACAUGUUUAUGGAACUUGGUUUUCGCUUGAGGACAAGCGAGGUCUAAGCUUGGGGGAGUUGAUACAUCCAUUUUGCAUCAUGCUUUCAUGUUGAUAUUUAUUGCUUUUUGGGCUGUUAUAUUACUUGUGGUACCAUAUUUAUGCCUUUUCUCUCUUAUUUUUCAAGGAUUAUUUGAAGAGAGAGAAUUCAGGCAGCUGGAAUUCUGGACUGGAGAAGGAGCAAAUCCCAGUCCACUAUUCUACACAUCUCCAAAUGCCCUGAAAAUUUACGUGGAUUUUUUCUGGAAUAUAUUAAAAAUACUGGGCGAAAGAACUACCGGAGGGGGCCACCAGGGCCCCNNNNNNNNNNNNNNNNNNNNNNNNNNNNNNNNNNNNNNNNNNNNNNNNNNNNNNNNNNNNNNNNNNNNNNNNNNNNNNNNNNNNNNNNNNNNNNNNNNNNCUACUUACUACUUCCCAAUGCAUUCCUCUAGGCCCAAAUACGGUGAAGUGUUAUGUAGUCGACGUUCACAUAACACCACUAGAGGAAAAACAACAUACAUCAUAUCAAAAUACCGAACGAAUAUCAAAUUCACAUGACUAUUAUCAGCAUGACUUAUCCCAUGUCCUCAGGAACAAAAGUAACUACUCACAAGACAUAAUCAUAAUCAUGACCAGAGGUGUAAUGAAUAGCAUCAAGGAUCUGAACAUAAACUCUUCCACCAAAUAAUCCAACAAGCAUCAACUACAAAGAGUAAUCAACACUACUAGCAACCUUACAAGUACCAAUCAGAGUUGCGAGACGGAGAUUGGUUACAAGAUAUGAACUAGGGAUUGGAGAGGAGAUGGUGCUGAUGAAGAUGUUGAUGAAGAUGCCUCCCCUCCGACGAGAGGAGUGUUGGUGAUGAUGAUGGCGACGAUUCCCCCCUCCGGGAGGGAAAUUUCCCCGGCAGGAUCGUCCUGCCGGAGCUCUAGAUUGGAUCUGCUCAAGUUCCGCCCCGUGGCGGCGGCGAAACCACGAAAAAGCUCUCGAUUGAUUUUUUUUUCCAGGUCAGGACGCAUCAUAUAGCAAAAGAGAGGGGCUAGUGGGCCUUCAGGCAGCCCACAAGCUUGCCCACCGCCACUAGGGGGGUGGUGGCGGAGUGGGGGCUUGUGGGGCCCUGGUGGCCCCCNNNNNNNNNNNNNNNNNNNNNNNNNNNNNNNNNNNNNNNNNNNNNNNNNNNNNNNNNNNNNNNNNNNNNNNNNNNNNNNNNNNNNNNNNNNNNNNNNNNNAGAAAUCCGGCUCCCUCCGGACGUCCGAGGGUCGGACAUCCGGCCAAGCUCCGGAAAUCCGGAGGCCAACACCAGUAGGUUGUGUGCACUAUAUCUCGGAAAUCCGGCCCCCACCGGACGUCCGAGCUCCGGAUGUCCGACCCCCGUCGGAAAUCCGGAAGCCACCACCAGAAGAAAUUGUGUUGGAUAACACGGACUUCCGGGUCACUCCGGACGUCCGGCUGCUGAUGAAUUCGAAUAGGUUCAGGCUCACCUACAGGCCUCGGACGUCCGACCCCUGUCGGACGUCCAGCCGCUGAUAAAUUCAGUUGAGCUCCAGUCAUGCCUACAGGUCUCGGACGUCCGACUCCCUCCGGACGCCCGGACUUCCGACAAGUGUCGGACGUCCGGACCCUGUGUGACUUAUUGCACCUCCAACGGCUGGAUUUCACUCCACACUAUAUAUACUCUUCUCCCACCUCGAGAAAGGGUGUUCAACACAGCUAAGAUACAUCCAAGAACACCUUUCCUCUCACUCACUCUUGUCUACACUAAAUCCUAGAUCCCNNNNNNNNNNNNNNNNNNNNNNNNNNNNNNNNNNNNNNNNNNNNNNNNNNNNNNNNNNNNNNNNNNNNNNNNNNNNNNNNNNNNNNNNNNNNNNNNNNNNGUAACAAGAUCACGGGGAUUGCUCAAAACUUGCUCAAAUCACAAAUCACUUUGGUGGGAAGGAGGAGAGGGAGACGAUCUAUCUUUUGAUUGGAACAACACUCAAAGGGACUCACAAAUGCUCUUGGGAUCUAGGAUUUGGUGUAGACAAGAGUGAGUGAUAGGAAAGGUGUUCUUGGGUGUAUUCUAGCUGUGUUGAACACCCUUUCACGAGGUGGGAGAAGAGUAUAUAUAGUGGGGAGUGAAAUCCAGCCGUUGGAGGUACUUUAAGUCACGCAGGGUCCGGACGUCCGACAGUUGCCGGAAGUCCGGGCGUCCGUGAGGGGUCGGACGUCCGACAGGGGUCGGUCGUCCGAGGCCUGUAGAUACGACUGAAACUAUUUUGAAUUAAAUAGAGACCGGACGUCCGGAGAGGACCAGAAAUCCGAGUUAUACAACUCAACUUCUUCUGGUGGUAGGUUCCGGAUUUCCGAAGGGGGUCGGACGUCCGACCCUCGGACGUCCGGAGGGAGCCGGAUUUCUGAGUUAUAGAACUCAACUUCUACUGGUGCAGGGUUCCGGAUUUCCGGGGCUUGGCCGGACGUACGGCCCUCGGAUGUCCGGAGGGAGCCGGAUUUCCGAGUUAUAUGACUCACAAACUUCUGGUGAAGGGCUGCGGAUUUCUGAAGCCUGCCGGUCGUCCGGCCCUCGGACGUCCGGAGUGAGCCGCAUGUCCGAGGCAUCAUACCUGUUUUGAUAUAAGAACAUAGCGGAGAGUAUGUGGUAUUGGGUAUGAUAGUAAAGAUGUGGUAUGAGCAAGUUCAUCGCAAAACCUGUGAUCCCCUCUUAAUAGUGCGGGAUCCCUAUACUCAAUAUCAGUAAACUCAAAAGACUAGUCUACAUCAUCUUUUCUUAAUCCCGAGCCUUCUCGAAAUAUAAAUCCCCAAUCUUCUCAGACAACCUUUAGCACAUAAUUCUCAAUCUACUAAAGUACUUGCCAUCGUGAGAUACACUCAACAAAUAGGAUUAGUUUCCUAUGUAUGUGUUGUCAUUAACACCAAAAGACGAUUAGGGGCAUAGCAUGCACUUUCACUUGUUGAUUUCCUAGGAUUGAUUGAGAAGGCCAAGAUCUACACUUCCACCAAGAGAAAAUUGAUUCCCCCUACUAAUCCCUUGCGGAUCUCGUUACUCUUGGGUGUUUGAGCACCCUAGACUGUUGAGGUCACCUCGGAGCUGAUACGUCUCCAACGUAUCUAUAAUUUUUUAUGGUUCCAUGCUAUUAUCUUGUCAAACUUUGGAUGUUUUGUAUGCCUUUUAUAUCUUUUUUGGGACUAACUUAUUAACUCAGUGCCAAGUGCUAGUUCCUAUUUUUUCCAUGUUUUUGACCCUUUUCAGAGGAGAAUAUUAAACGGAGUCCAGACGGAAUAAAACUUCCGAAAAGAUUUUUUCCGGGACAAAAGAUACGUAGGAGGCGUCAGAACCAAGGCAGAGGCCACCAAGGGAGGCCACAAGCCCCCUAGGCGCGGCCAGGGGGACCCGCACCGAGAAGGCUUGUGGGCCCCCUGUGGCUCGUCUGCCCUACUUAUUCCACCUAUAAAUCCCCGAAAAAUCCAAAACCAUGGGAGAGUCCACGAAAAUACUUUUCCGCCGCCGCAAGCUUCUGUCUCCGCAAGAUCCCAUCUGGGGCACGUUCUGGUGCCCUGCCGUAGGGGGAUCCGGAUACGGAGGGCUUCUUCAUCAACACCAUUGCCACUCGAUGAUGCGUGAGUAGUUCACCAUAGACCUUCGGGUCCAUAGCUAGUAGCUAGAUGGCUUCUUCUCUCUCUUGGAUCUUCAAUACAAAGUUCUCCAUGAUCUUCAUGGAGAUCUAUCCGAUGUAAUCUUCUUUUGUGGUGUGUUUGUCGAGAUCCGAUGAAUUGUGGAUUUAUGAUCAGAUUAUCUAUGAAUCUUAUUUGAGUUUCUUCUGAUCUCUUAUAUGCAUGAUUUCAUAUCCUUGUAAUUCUCUUCGAGUUGUGGGUUUUGUUUGGCCAACUUGAUCUAUGAUUUGCAAUGGGAGAAGUGCUUGGUUUGGGGUUCAUACCGUGCGGUGACCUCACCCAGUGACAGAAGGGGUAGCGAGGCACGCAUCGUGUUGUUGCCAUCAAGGGUAAAAAGAUGGGGUUUAUAUCUAUUGCAUGAAUUUAUCCCUCUACAUCAUGUCAUCUUUCUUAAAGCGUUACUCUGUUCAUCAUGAACUCAAUACACUAGAUGCAUGCUGGAUAGCGGUCGAUGUGUGGAGUAAUAGUAGUAGAUGCAGACAGUAUCGGUCUACUUGUCCUGGACGUGAUUCCUAUAUGUAUGAUCAUUGCCUUAUAUAUCGUCAUGACUUUGCGCGGUUCUAUCAAUUGCNNNNNNNNNNNNNNNNNNNNNNNNNNNNNNNNNNNNNNNNNNNNNNNNNNNNNNNNNNNNNNNNNNNNNNNNNNNNNNNNNNNNNNNNNNNNNNNNNNNNNNNNNNNNNNNNNNNNNNNNNNNNNNNNNNNNNNNNNNNNNNNNNNNNNNNNNNNNNNNNNNNNNNNNNNNNNNNNNNNNNNNNNNNNNNNNNNNNNNNNNNNNNNNNNNNNNNNNNNNNNNNNNNNNNNNNNNNNNNNNNNNNNNNNNNNNNNNNNNNNNNNNNNNNNNNNNNNNNNNNNNNNNNNNNNNNNNNNNNNNNNNNNNNNNNNNNNNNNNNNNNNNNNNNNNNNNNNNNNNNNNNNNNNNNNNNNNNNNNNNNNNNNNNNNNNNNNNNNNNNNNNNNNNNNNNNNNNNNNNNNNNCUAUCAAUUGCUCGACAAUAAUUCGUUCACCCACCGUAAUAUUUGCUAUCUUGAGAGAACCUCUAGUGAACACUAUGGCCCCCAGGUCUACUUCACAUCAUGUUUUCAGCCUUACACUUUUACUUUGUUGCACUUUCCACCUUCAGACCUCACUUUACAAUCAAUCUUGAAGGGAUUGACAACCCCUUUAUAGCAUUGGGUGCAUGCUCGUUUGUGUUUGCGCAGGUACUCUGGACACUUGGCUUGAUUCUCCUACUGGAUUGGUACCUUGGUUCUCAAAACUGAGGGAAAUACUUACUGCUACUGUGCUGCAUCACCCUUUCCUCUUCAAGGGAAAAACCAACGCAAGCUCAAGAGGUAGCAAGAAGAAUUUCUGGCGCCGUUGCCGGGGAGCAUCAAGUCAAGAAUAGUCUUCCUCCAACGUGUCAAUCUCUCGCACCGGGGAUUAUUCUAAGUGAAGCUUAUCUAAGUAACCGUCGCAAACUCAUCUCUUGCAUUUACUUUUUUUGCCUCUCAUUUUCCUCUCCCCACUUCUGAAAAACAAAAAUUUACAAAAAAAAUUGCCUUUUCCGUUCGCCUUUUUGUUGCUUUGGUUGCUUGUGUUACCAUGUGCCUUCAAAAUGCUUGCAUCUUCACUUGCUAAGAAUCUAAUGAUAUGGAUCCUCACCCACUUGCUAAUCUUUUCAAGAGGUCCAACUAUGUUGAACCAUUUGCUAGUGAGUUGAGUGCACUUGACUCUCUUUAUGGAGUUUUGCUUGAGAUGCACGAAUCUGAAAAUCGUGAUGAAGAAAUUUAUAAAGUGAUUCACGAGGGCUCCUUGAAUGAAAAGCAUGAUUGCAAUGGUUUCACUAUAAAUCCUAUUAGUGUCAAUCAUGCUAAAAAUAUGCAAAACCCUAAGCUUGGGGAUGCUAGUUUUACUAUGACCACUACUUGUUGCAAUAAUCAUGAUUGGGGUGAUGAUCUUUCUUAUGAUCUUGAAAAUUUGUUUAAACCUCAUGAUGAAUAUGAUAUUUGCAAAAAUAUUGAAAGUGGGUUUGGAGAAGUCAUGACUUUAGUUGAUGAUAAUCCCACUAUUCUUGAAGAGCGUAAACUUUACAUGCAUGUGGAUGAUGAAAAGAAUACCCUUUGUGAUAGCUAUAUUGUUGAAUUUGAAUAUGAUCCCACAUGUAAUUAUUAUGAGAGAGGAAAAUAUGGUUGUAGAAAUUUUCAUACCAAUAAAUCACCUCUCGUUAUGUUGAGAUUGCUAUUGUCUCUUUCUUCUUCCUUGCAUAUGGUAGCUAUUGGUUGUCUUGAUAAUUUGUUUUCCUAUAAAAUGCCUAUGCAUAGGAAGUAUGUUAGACUUAGAUGUGAUUUUCACAUGUUUCAUGAUGCUCUCUUCAUGUCCGAUUGCUAUCUUUUAUGUGAGCAUCAUUGAAUUAUCAAUGCCUAGCUAAGGGCGUUAAACAAUAGCGCUUGUUGGGAGGCAACCCAAUGAAUUUAUCUUUGGUUUUUGUUUUCUGUUUUGUUGCGUCCACACCAUCAUAAUUCUGUUAUGAUUGUGUUUUUGUGUUUCUUUUUCUGUUUAAUCCAAGUAAAACCUUUAUGACUAGUUUUGGUGAUGGUUGUUUGAUCAUGCUGGAAAAAGAAGAAACUUUUCACUCACGAAAUUAUUUUUCAUUUUUAUCCAGAAAGAGAUUUUGAGUUUAUUCUUUAUGCUACUGGUUGAUAUGCCAUUUUCCCAAACUGUCGUAAAUUUUCAGAAGUUUUGAGAUACCACAAGUAUAUGAAGUAUACAGAUUGCUAUAGACUGGUCUGUUUUCGACAGAAUCUGUUUUGUUGUGUCGAUUGCUUGUUUUGAUGAAACUAUGGAUAGUAUCGGGGGGUACUAGCCAUGGAAAAGUGAGAAUACAGUAAUCUAACACCAAUAUAAAUAGAAAUCAAGUUUUCUACGGUACCUCAAGAGGUGGUAGUUUGUUUUCUUGUGCUAAUGAUAUCAUGAGUUUCUGUUUAAGUUUUGUGUUGUGAAGUUUUCAAGUUUUGGGUGAUGUUCUCAUGGACAAAGGGAUAAAGAGUGGAAAGAGAUCAAGCUCGAUGAUUCCCAAGGCAUCACAAGCCAAAUUCAAGGACACCAAAAAGCCUAAGCUUGGGGAUGCCCCGGGAAGGCAUCCCCUCUUUCGUCUUCAAUCCAUCGGUAACAUUACUUGGAGCUAUAUUUUUAUUCACCACAUGAUAUGUGUUUUGCUUGGAGCGUCAUGUAUUAUAGGAGUCUUUUCUUUUUGUUGUGUCACAAUCAUCCUUGAUGCACAACUUUUGAGAGAGACAUGCACUCAUCGUGAUUUUGCUAGAAUACUCAUUGAGCUUCGAUUAUAUCUUUUGAGUUAGGCAAUUUAGCUCACAUGUGCUUCACUUAAAUCUUUUGAGCUAGAUAACUUUGCUCUAAGUGCUUCACUUAGAUCUUUUAGAGCAUGGCGGUGUCAUAUUUUGGAGAAAUAAGAACUCUCGAUCUUCACUUAUAUCUUUUUGAGAGUGCUCUCUUUGAGUAACUUGCUAGUUGGCUUGUGCUAUGAAAGUAGUCCUAAAGAUGAUAGGCAUCCAAAGAGGAUACAAUAAAACUUCCAUAUUCUUGUGCAUUGAUUAGAAAGAGAAGUUUGAUUCCUCUCAAUUAGUUUUGAGACAUGGAUUUGGUAAUAUUAAGAGUUAUGUUAGUAGGGUGUUGUGAAUCUUUAAAUACUUGUGUUGAAGUUAGUGAUUCCCGUAACAUGCACGUAUGGUGAACCGCUAUGUUAGGAAGUCGGAGCAUAAUUGAUCUAUUGAUUAUCAUCCUUUGUGUUGCGGUCGGGAUCGCGCGAUGGUUAACACCUACCAACCCUUCCCCUAGAAGUAUGUGUUUAGCACUUUGUUUCGAUUACUAAUAAAAACUUUCGCAAUAAGUAUGUGAGUUCUUCAUGACUAAUGUGAGUUCAAGGUAUAGAUGCACUUUCACCUUCCACCAUUGAUAGCCUCUGUAGUGCCGCACAAUUCUCGCCGGUACGUAAAACCGCCAUAUGCCUUCCUCAAAACAGCCACCAUACCUACCUAUUGUGGCAUUUUCAUAGCCAUUCCGAGAUAUAUUGCCAUGCAACUCCCACCGUUCCGUCUAAUUACAUGUGCCGUCACUUUCAUAUUCCCAUUACAUGAUCGUAAGAUAGCUAGCGAGAUGUUUUCAACGUCAUACACCAAGCUAGAUCGUUGCACAUCCCGGUACACUACCAGAGGCAUUUCCUAUAGAGGAUCAUCAUUGCUCUAAGUAUUGAGCUGUGAGUAGAUAAAAGUGUGAUGAUCAUCAUUAUUAGAGCAUUCUCCCAUGUGAGGAAAUAAAAAAAUAGGAAAGAGGCCAAAGUUGCCCACAAAAAAAUGGAAAGAGGCCAAAGAGCCCAAACAAAAAAAGAGAGAAAAAGAGAGAAGGGACAAUGCUACUAUCUUUUCCACACUUGUGCUUCAUAAUAGCACCAUGUUCUUCAUGAUUGAGAAUCUCUUGUUUCGUCACCACCAUAUGCUAGUGGGAAUCUUCAUUAUAUAACUUAGCUUGUAUAUUCCAAUGAUGGGCUUCCUCAAAAUUGCCCUAGGUCUUCAUGAGCAAGCAACUUGGAUGCACACCCACUAGUUCUCCUUUUGAGCUUUCACAUACUUAUAGCUCUAAGUGCAUCCGUUGCAUGGUAAUCCCUACUCUUUCACAUUGAUAUCUAUUGAUGGUCAUCUCCAUAACCCUUUGAUACGCCGAGUCGAUGUGACCAUCUCCUCCUUUUUGUCUCACAACCUCCACCACACUUUAUUCCACCUAUAGUGCUAUAUCCAUGGCUCACGCUCAUGUAUUGCGUGAGAGUUGAAAAAGGUUUGAGAAAGUAAGAGUGCGAAAACAAUUACUUGGCCAAUACCAGGGUUGUGCAUGAUUUAAAUUAGUUGUGUGGGGAUGACGGAGCAUAGCCAGACUAUAUGAUUUUGUAGGGAUAACUUUCUUUGGCCUUGUUAUUUCGAAAGUUCAUGAUUACCUUGCUAGUUUACUUGAAGUAUUAUUGUUUUCAUGUCAAUAGCAAACUAUUGUUUUGAAUCUUAUGGAUCUGAACAUUCAUGUCACAUGAAAGAAGUUACAAAGGACAAAUAUGCUAGGUAGAAUUCCACAUCAAAAAUUCAUUCUUUAUCACUUCCCUACUCGAGGACGAGCACGAGUUAAGCUUGGGGAUGCUUGAUACGUAUCCAAAGUAUCUAUAAUUUUUGAUGGUCCCAUGCUAUUAUCUUGUCAAACUUUGGAUGUUUUGUAUGACUUUUAUAUCUUUUUUGGGUCUAACUUAUUAACUCAGUGCCAAGUGCCAGUUCCUGCUUUUUUCAUGUUUUUGACCCUUUUCAGAGGAGAAUAUUAAACGGAGUCCAAACAGAAUAAAACUUCCGAAAAGAUUUUUUCCGGAACAAAAGAUACGCACGAGGCAUGAGAACCAAGGCACAGGCCCCCAGGGGAGGCCACAAGCCCCCUAGGUGCGGCCAGGGGGCGCGCCUAGCAGGCUUGUGGGCCCCCUGUGGCUCGUCUUCCCUACUUCUUCCACCUAUAAAUCCCUGAAAAAUCCAACCACGGGAGAGAUCCACGAAUAUACAUUUCCACCGCCGCAAGCUUCUAUCUCCGCAAGAUCCCAUCUGGGGUACGUUCUCGUGCCCUGUCGGAGGGGGAUUCGGAUACGGAGGGCUUCUUCAUCAACACCAUUGCCUCUCCGAUGAUGCGUGAGUAGUUCACCAUAGACCUUCGGGUCCAUAGCUAGUAGCUAGAUGGCUUCUUCUCUCUCUUGGAUCUUCAAUACAAAGUUCUCCAUGAUCUUCAUGGAGAUCUAUCCGAUGUAAUCUUCUUUUGCGGUGUGUUUGUCGAGAUCCGAUGAAUUGUGUAUUUAUGAUCAGAUUAUCUAUGAAUCUUAUUUGAGUUUCUUCUGAUCUCUUAUAUGCAUGAUUUCAUAUCCUUGUAAUUCUCUUCGAGUUGUGGGUUUUGUUUGGCCAACUUGAUCUAUGAUUCUUGCAAUGGGACAAGUGCUUGGUUUUGGGUUCAUACUGUGCGGUGACCUCACCAAGUGACAGAAGGGGUAGCGAGGCACGCAUCGUGUUGUUUCCAUCAAGGGUAAAAAGAUGGGGUUUAUAUCUGUUGCAUGAAUUUAUCCCUCUACAUCAUGUCAUCUUGUUUAAGGCGUUACACUGUUCGUCAUGAACUCAAUACACUAGAUGCAUGAUGGAUAGCGGUCGAAGUGUGGAGUAAUAGUAGUAGAUGCAGACAGUAUCGGUCUACUUGUCUCGGACGUGAUGCCUAUAUGUAUGAUCAUUUACUUAGAUAUCGUCAUGACUUUGUGCGGUUCUAUCAAUUGCUCGACAGUAAUUCGUUCACCCACCGUAAUAUUUGCUAUCUUGAGAGAAGCCUCUAGUGAACACUAUGGCCCCCGGGUCUACUUCACAUCAUAUUUUCAGCCUUACACUUUUACUUUGUUGCACUUUCCACCUUGAGACCUUACUUUGCAAUCAAUCUUCAAGGGAUUGACAACCCCUUUAUAGCGUUGGGUGCAAGCUCGUUUGUGUUUGCGCAGGUACUCUGGACACUUGGCUUGAUUCUCCUACUGGAUUGAUACCUUGGUUCUCAAAACUGAGGGAAAUACUUACUGCUACUGUGCUGCAUCACCCUUUCCUCUUCAAGGGAAAAACCAAUGCAAGCUCAAGAGGUAGCAGGAGCAACAUUCCAUUGUGGUGAAGCUCCUUGGUCUUGUUGGGAGCCUCCAAGCUUUGUGUGAAGUUAGCCCCAACCUUGUUUGUAAAGGUUCGGUCGCCGCCUUCAAGAGCACCCAAAGUGGAAUCACGGCACCUUGCAUUGUGUGAGGGCGUGAGGAGAAUACGGUGGCCCUAGUGGCUUAUUGGGGAGCAUUGUGCCUCCACACCGCUCCAACGGAGACAUACUUCUUGUCAAAGGGAAGGAACUUCGGUAACACAUCCUCGUCUUCAUUGGUUCCACUUGUGGUUAUCUCUAAUCUUUACAUUGUGUAUGCUAUUGUUGUAGACUAUUUUAUACUUGCCUUAGCAAUUAUAGUUGGUAGCAUCAUAUAGGUUGAUCACCUAGUUGUCAUUUUAGAGAACCUUUAUGUUGUUAACCCUAACUUUUUAAAAAUAGAUAAAAAGUGGUAGUUGCCUAUUCACCCCCCCCCCCGCUAGUCAACCAUAUCGAUCCUUUCACUUGGGUUCUCCAUUCAUAUAAUGAGCUAAUAUCAAAUAAUCUGUUUUCACGAGCAAGUUUGAAAUCAUAGUUGAGUUCUUUGAUUUCCCAAUAUGCUUUAUGUUCUAACUCAAGAGGCAAAUGACAAGCUUUUCCACAAACCAUUUUAUAAGGAGACAUACCCAUAGGAUUUUUAUAUGUUGUUCUCUAAGCCCAAAGUGCAUCAUCUAUUUUCUUAGACCAAUUCUUCCGAGACCUAUUGACAGUCUUUUGUAAGAUUAGAUUUAUUUCUUUAUUGCUAAGUUCAACUUGGCCACUAGAAUGAGGAUGAUAAGGUGAUGCUAUUCUAUGGUUAACAUCAUACUUAGCAAGCAUUUUAUGCAAAGCACCAUGAAUAAAGUGUGAACCACCAUCAGUCAUUAAAUAUCUAGGGACUCCAAACCUUGGGAAACGAACUUCCUUAAGCAUUUUAAUAGAGGUGUUGUGAUCAGCACUACUAGUUGGAAUAGCUUCUACCCACUUAGUAACAUAAUAAACAGCAACCAAAAUAUGUGUAUACCUAUUAGAGGAAGGAAAACGUCCCAUGAAACAAAUCCCCAAACAUCAAAUGGUUCAACAACAAGUGAAUAAUUCAUAGGCAUUCUUGAUGCUUACUAAUAUUACCUAUUCUUUGACAUUCAUCACAAGAUGAUACAAACUUAUGUGCAUCCUUGAAGAGAGUAGGCCAAUAAAAACCAGAUUGCAAUACCGUAUGAGCAGUUCUGUCUCCCGCGUGAUGCCCUCCAUAAGCUUCGGAGUGACAUUUCCCCAGAAUUUGUUCCUGUUCAUGAUUAGGUACACAACGUCUAAUAAUACCAUCUACUCCUUCUUUAUAAAGAUGUGGGUCGUCCCAAAAGUAAUGUCUUAAAUCAUCGAAGAUUUUUUUUCUUUUGUUGGUAUGUGAAGCUAGGUGGUAUGUAUUUAGCAACAAUAUAAUUAGCAUAAUCAGCAUACCAAGGUGUACUAUUAGAAACAUUUAUUGCAGCUAAUUGUUCAUCAGGAAAGCUAUCAUUAAUAGGUUGUGGGUCAUCAAUAAUAUUUUCAAGCCUAGACAAGUUAUCAGCUACGGGGUUCUCUGCUCCUUUCCUAUCAGCGAUAUGCAAAUCAAAUUCUUGUAACAGAAGAACCCACCUAAUGAGUCUAGGUUUAGCAUCUUUCUUUUCCAUAAGAUAUUUAAUAGCAGCAUGAUCGGCGUGAACAAUAACUUUAGAAUCAACAAUGUAAGAUCUGAAUUUAUCACAAGCAAACACUACUGCUAAGAAUUCGUUUUCAAUAGUAACAUAAUUUCGUUGAUCACUGUCCAGAGUUUUACUAGCAUAAUGGAUAAAAUUCAAUUUCUUAUCAACUCUUUGUCCUAGAACAACACCAACAUUGAAAUCACUAGCAUCAUACAUAAUCUCAAAAGGCAAAUUCCAAUCAGGUGGUUGAACAACAGGUGCAUUAACUAAGGCUUUCUUUAGUGUUUCGAAGGCUUCCAAACAAUCAUCAUCAAACACAAAAGGAAUAUCCUUUUGCAAAAGAUUUGCAAGAGCCCUAGAAAUUUUAGAAAAGUCUUUGAUAAACCUCCUAUUGAAACCAGCAUGACCAAGGAAACUAUGAAUACCUUUGAUAUCUUUAGGACAUGGCAUUUUCUUAAUUGCAUCAACCUUGGUUUUGUCCACCUCAAUGCCUCUUUUAGAAAUUUUAUGGUCCAAAACAAUACCUUCGUUAACCAUAAAAGUGGCACUUCUCCCAAUUCAAGACAAGAUUUGUUUGUUCACAUCUGUGCAAAACUCGAUCAGGAUUGCUUAAACAAUCAUAAAAAAUACUUCCCAUAAACAGAAAAGUCAUCCAUGAAAACCUCAACAAUCUUUUCACAAAAAAAAUCAGAGAAUAUAGCAGCCAUGCAUCUUUGAAAGGUAGCAGGUGCAUUACAUAAACCAAAAGGCAUACGUCUAUAAGCAUAAGUUUCAAAAGGUUAAGUAAAAGUGGUCUUUUCUUGAUCAGGUUGUAAAACAUGUAUUUGUGAAAAAAUAGAAUGUCCGUCAAAAAAGCAAAAAUGUGUGUGCUUAGAUAGUCUUUCUAACAUUUGAUCAAUAAAAGGCAAAGGGUAAUGAUCUUUUCUAGUUGCUUUGUUUAAUUUUCUAAAAUCAAUUACCAUUCUAUAGCAUGUGACAAUUCUUUGUGGAAUAAGUCCAUUCUUAUCAUUAGAAACAACAAUAAUACCUCCCUUCUUAGUGAUGUAGGCGUUGCCCGAUCUUUCAAUGAGAGUGAUGAUAACUAUCGAUUUGGUGAAUUUUGACUUUGACGAUCCGACUAUCCGAUGUAAUCUUAUUUUGCGGUGUGUUUGUCGAGAUCCGACGAAUUGUGGAUUUAUGAUCAGAUUAUCUAUGAAUAUUAUUUGAGUUUCCUCUGAUCUCUUAUAUGCAUGAUUUCGUAUCCUUGUAAUUCUCUUCGAGUUGUGGGUUUUGUUUGGCCAACUUCAUCUAUAAUUCUUGCAAUGGGAGAAGUGCUUGGUUUUGGGUUCAUAUCGUGCGGUGUCCUCACCCAGUGACAGAAGGGGUAGCGAGGCACGCAUCGUGUUGUUGCCAUCAAGGGUAAAAAGAUGGGGUUUAUGUCUAUUGCAUGAAUUUAUCCCUCUACAUCAUGUCAUCUUGCUUAAGGUGUUACUCUGUUUGUAAUGAACUCAAUACACUAGAUGCAUGCUGGAUAGCGGUUGAUGUGUGGAUUAAUAGUAGUAUAUGCAGACAGUAUCGGUCUACUUGUCUCGGACGUGAUGCCUAUAUGUAUGAUCAUUGCCUUAGAUAUCAUCAUGACUUUGCGCGGUUCUAUCAAUUGCUCGACAGUAAUUCGUUCACCCACCGUAAUACUUGCUAUCAUGAGAGAAGCCUCUAGUGAACACUAUGGCCCCCGGGUCUACUUCACAUCAUAUUUUUAGCUCUACACUUUUACUUUGUUGCACUUUCCACCUUCAUAUCUCACCUUGCAAUUAAUCGUGAAGGGAUUGACAACCCCUUUAUAGUGUUGGGUGCAAGUUUGUUUGUUUUUGCGCAGGUACAUUGGUGACUUGCCUUUCUGGCGCCGUUGCCGGGGAGUAUCAAGUCAAGAAUAGUCUCCCUUCAACGUGUCAAUUUCUGGCACCGGGGACUAUUCUAAGUGAAGCUUAUCCAAGUAACUGUCGCAAACUUAGCUCUUGCAUUUACUUUUUUUCCUUUUGCCUCUCGUUUUCCUCUCCCCCACUUCUGAAAAACAAAAAUUUACAAAAAUAUUUGCCUUUUUCGUUCGCCCUUUUCUUUCGCUUGCUUUCUGUUCGCUUGUGUGCUUGUCUACUUGCUGAAGUCACCAUGACUGAAAACACCAAAUUGUGUGACUUCUCGAAUACUAAUAAAAAUGAUUUUAUUAGUACUCCGAUUGCUCCCGCCACUAGUGCGGAAUCAUAUGAAAUCAAUGUUGUUUUGCUCAAUCUUGUUAUGAAAGAGCAAUUUUCCGGCCUUCCUAGUUAAGAUGCCGCAUCCCAUCUUAAUACCUUCAUUGAGUUAUGCGAUGUGCAAAAGAAGAAAGAUGCGGAUAAUGAUGUGAUUAAAUUGAAGCUAUUUCCAUUCUCAUUGCGAGAUCGAGCAAAAACUUGGUUUUCAUCUUUGCCCAAAAAUAGUAUUGAUUCUUGAAACAAGUGUAAAGAUGCUUGUUAAUUCAAGUAUUUUCCAUCGGCUAAGAUUAUCUCUCUCCGUAAUGAUAUCAUGAAUUUUAAGCAACUAGAUCAUGAACAUGUUUCACAAUCUUGUGAGAUAAUGAAAUUGAUGAUUAGAAAUUGUCCCGCUCAUGGCUUGAGUCUUUGGAUGAUUAUAUAAAUCUUCUAUGCUGGUUUGAAUUUUGCUUCUAGAAAUAUCUUGGAUUCCGCCUCCGGUGGAACUUUAUGGAAAUCACAUUAGGAGAAGCCACAAAACUCCUAGACAAUAUCAUGACAAACUAUUCUCAAUGGCAUACUGAAAGGUCACCUACUAGUAGAAAAGUGCAAGCUAUAGAAGAAAUUAACUCUUUGAGUGCUAAGAUGGAUGAGUUAAUGAAAUUGUUUGCUAGUAAAGGUGCUCCUCUAGAUCCAAAUGAUAUGCCUUUGUCUUCCUUGAUUGAGAAUAGCAAUGAGAGCUUGGAUGUUAAUUUUGUUGGUAGGAAUAAUUUUGGCAACAACAAUGCUUAUAGAGGUAACUUAAUUCCUAGGCCUUUUCCUAGUAAUUCCUCUAAUAACUUUGGCAAUUCCUACAACAAUGCUCAUGGAAAUUAUAAUAAAUUACCCUUUGAUCUUGAGAGUAAUAUUAAAGAGUUUAUCAACUCGCAAAAGAUUUCCAAUGCGUCCAUAGAAGAAAAACUGCUCAAAAUUGAUGACUUGGCUAGGACCAUUGAUAGAAUGUCUCUUGAUAUUAAUGCUUUAAAAUUGAGAUGUGCUCCUUCCAAGAUUAAUAUGGAUGAAACUUUGAAAGCUAUGCGUGUUUCCAUGAAUGAGAGUAAAGAAAGAACCGCCCAAAUUCGUGCUAGACAUGAAUGGCUUAAAAAGGCGUGUUCUCGUGAUGAGAAUCACGAAGAUCUUAAAGUGCUUGGUGUGACUCCUAUUGAAUCCUUGUUUUAUAAUGUCAAUCCUAAUGAUUAUGGGGCUGGAUAUGAAUCCACUUUGCUUGAAAACUGCCCCAAUGAUUCAGAGUCUAUCUACCUUGAUGCUAAAAGCACUGAAAGUGGAGUAGAGGAUAUCAAAACUUUGAGUAGUGAUGAAAUUACUACUUUGGAUUUCAAGGAAUUCAAUUAUGAUAAUUUCUCUUUGAUUGAAUGUAUUUCCUUGGUGCAAUCCAUGCUAAACUCUCCACAUGGUUAUAGCCAAAAAUAAAGCCUUUACCGAUCAUAUCGUUGGUGCUAUGAUGAAAUCUCUUGAAGAGAAACUUGAGUUGGAAGUUUCUAUUCCUAGAAAACUUCAUGAUGAGUGGGAACCUACUAUCAAAAUCAAGAUUAAAAACUAUGAAUGCAAUGCUUUGUGUGAUUUGGGUGCUACUGUUUCCGCUAUUCCAAAGUCUUUAUGUGAUGUUCUAGGCUUCAACGAGAUUGAUGAGUGCUCUCUUAAUUUGCAUCUUGCGGAUUCUACUGUUAAGAAACCUAUGUGAAGGAUCAAUGGUGUUCUUAAUAUUUCAAAUAGGAACUAUGUACCCGUGGAUUUCAUUGUGCUUGAUAUUGACUGCAAUCCUACAUGUCCCAUCAUUCUUGGUAGACCUUUCCUUAGGACUAUUGGUGCUAUCAUCGAUUUGAAGGAAGGGAAUAUUAGAUUUCAAUUUCCAUUAAAGAAGAGCAUGGAACACUUUCCUAGAAAGAAAAUAAGAUUGCCUUAUGAAUCCAUGAUGAGGGCUACUUAUGGUUUGAGCACCAAAGAUGACGAUACUUGAUUCUAUUGUCUUAUGCCUAGCUAAGGGCGUUAAACAAUAGCGCUUGUUGGGAGGCAACCCAAUGAAUUUAUCUUUGCUUUUUGCUUUAUGUUUUGUUGUGUCCACACCAUCAUAAUUCUCUUAUGAUUGUGUUUUUUGUGUUUCCUUUUGUGUUUGAGCCAAGUAAAACCUUUAUGACUACUUUUGGUGAUGGUUGUUUGAUCGUGCUGAAAAAGACAGAAACUUUGCGCUCACGAAAUUAUUUUUCAUUCCUAUCCACAAGAGCUUUUGAGUUGAUUAUUUUUUCUUCUGGUUGAUAUGCCAAUUUCCCUAAUUUACAUAACGUUUCAGAAAUUUUGAGAUACCAGAAGUAUACGAAGUAUACAGAUUGCUAUAGACUGGCCUGUUUUUGACAGAUUCAGUUUUUGUUGUGUUGAUUGCUUAUUUUGAUGAAACCAUAGAUAGUAUCGGGGGGAGGGGGGUACUAGCCAUGGAAAAGUGAGAAUACAUAAAUAUAACACCAAUAUAAAUAGAAAUCAAGUUUGCUACAAUACCUAAAGAGGUGGUGGUUUGUUUUCUUAUGCUAAUGAUAUCAGGAGUUUGUGUUUAAGUUUUGUGUUGUGAAGUUUUCAAGUUUUGGGUGAUGUUCUCAUAGACAAUGGGAUAAAGAGUGUAAAGAUCUCAAGCUUGGGGAUGCCCAAAGCAUCCCAAGCCAAAUUCAAGGACACAAAAAAGCCUAAGCUUGGGGAUGCCCCGGGAAGGCAUCCCCUCUUUCGUCUUCAAUCCAUCGGUAACGUUACUUGGAGCUAUACUUUUAUUCACCACAUGAUAUGUGUUUUGCUUGGAGCGUCGUGUAUUAUAGGAGUCUUUUAUUUUUGUCGUGUCACAAUCAUCCUUGCUGCACACCUUUUUGAGAGACACAUGCACACAUCAUGAAUUUUCUAGAAUACUCAUUGAGCUUCACUUAUAUCUUUUGAGUUAGGCAAUUUAGCUCAUUGUUCUUCACUUAUACCUUUUGAGCUAGAUAACUUUGCUCUAGUGCUUCACUUAGAUCUUUUUAGAGCACGGCGGUGUCAUAUUUUGGAGAAAUAAGAACUCUCGAUCUUCACUUAUAUCUUUUUGAGAGUGCUCUCUCUAAGUAACUUGGUAGUUGGCGUGUGCCAUGAAAGAGUCCUAAAGAUGAUAGGCAUCCAAAGAGGAUAUAAUAAAAACUUCCAUAUUCAUGUGCAUUGAUUAGUAAGAGAAGUUUGAUUCCUCUCAAUUAUUUUUGAGAUAUGGAUUUGGUAAUAUUAGAGUUAUGUUAGUAGGGUGUUGUGAAUCUAGAAAUACUUGUGUUGAAGUUAGUAAUUCCCGUAGCAUGCACGUAUGGUGAACCGCUAUGUUAGGAAGUCGGAGCAUAAUUGAUUUAUUGAUUGCCAUCCUUUGUGUUGCGGUCGGGAUCGCGCGAUGGUUAACACCUACCAACCCUUCCCCUAGGAGUAUGCGUUUAGCACUUUGUUUCGAUUACUAAUAAAACCUUCGCAAUAAGUAUAUGAGUUCUUCAUGACUAAUGUGAGUCCAUGGUAUAGAUGCACUUUCACCUUCCACCAUUGCUAGCCUCUCUAGUGACGCGCAACUCUCGCCGAUGCACAAACCCACCAUACCUUCCUCAAAACAGCCACCAUACCUACCUACUAUGGCAUUUUCAUAGCCAUUCCGAGAUAUAUUGCCAUGCAACUCCCACCGUUCCGUCUCAUGAAAUGUGCCGUCACUUUCAUAUUGCCAUUGCAUGAUCGUAAGAUAGCUAGCGAGAUGUUUCAACAUCAUACGCUAAGCUAUAUCGUUGCACAUCCCGGUACACUACCGGAGGCAUUUCCUAUAGAGUCAUCAUUGCUCUAAGUGUUGAGUUAUAAGUAAAUAAAAGUGUGAUGAUCAUCGCUAUUAGAGCAUUGUCCCAUGUGAGCAAAUAAAAAAAAGAGGCCAAAGAUGCCCACCAAAAAAAUGAAAAGAGGCCAAAGAGCCCAAAGAUAGAGAGAGAGAGAGAGAGAGAGAGAAAGAGAGAAGGGACAAUGUGAUGACCCACAAGUAUAGGGGAUCAAUCGUAGUCCUUUCGAUAAGUAAGAGUGUCGAACCCAACAAGGAGCAGAAGGCUCUGAUAGAUGGAUUUCAGCAAGGUAAUAACUGCAAGCACUCAUAGUAGCAGUAACAAGUGAUUGUGUAGCGAGGUGAAACGUAGCAAGCAAAGAGUAACAAGUAACAAGUAGUAGCAACGGUGCAGCAAGUGGCCCAAUCCCUUUUGUAGCAAGGGACAAGCCUGAACAAAGUCUUAUAGGAGGAAAAACGCUCCCGAGGACACACGGGAAUUUCUGUCAUGCUAGUUUCAUCAUGUUCAUAUGAUUCACGUUCGUUACUUUGAUAGUUUGAUAUGUGGGUGGACCGGCGCUUGGGUACUGCCCUUACUUGGACAAGCAUCCCACUUAUGAUUAACCUCUCUCGCAAGCAUCCGCAACUACAAAAGAAGAAUUAAGGCAAAGUCUAACCAUAGCAUUAAACUAGUGGAUCCAAAUCAGCCCCUCACGAAGCAGCGCAUAAACUGGGGUUUAAGCUUCUGUCAGUCCAGCAACCCAUCACCUACUUACUACUUCCCANNNNNNNNNNNNNNNNNNNNNNNNNNNNNNNNNNNNNNNNNNNNNNNNNNNNNNNNNNNNNNNNNNNNNNNNNNNNNNNNNNNNNNNNNNNNNNNNNNNNNNNNNNNNNNNNNNNNNNNNNNNNNNNNNNNNNNNNNNNNNNNNNNNNNNNNNNNNNNNNNNNNNNNNNNNNNNNNNNNNNNNNNNNNNNNNNNNNNNNNNNNNNNNNNNNNNNNNNNNNNNNNNNNNNNNNNNNNNNNNNNNNNNNNNNNNNNNNNNNNNNNNNNNNNNNNNNNNNNNNNNNNNNNNNNNNNNNNNNNNNNNNNNNNNNNNNNNNNNNNNNNNNNNNNNNNNNNNNNNNNNNNNNNNNNNNNNNNNNNNNNNNNNNNNNNNNNNNNNNNNNNNNNNNNNNNNNNNNNNNNNNNNNNNNNNNNNNNNNNNNNNNNNNNNGCCCCCUUCCCCACCGGCGACCCACCCCACCAGAACUCCACCACCUCGGCCACCAUUGCAGCACGGGAGUCCCAGCCGAGGUAACCUCCCCUCCCUCCUUUCUUUUUUUUACUUGUUUUGUUUUUUUUAGUUUUAGCCCUUAGAUCUAUUUCCAACGGUGUAGAUUAGGAAGUACUUACCCCUUCGGUCUUUUAGAUAAAACCGAUCGGUUUUUCCUUCACUUAAGAUUAGCCGAAACGAACUAGUUAAAUAGCGGCAGUUUGUUAGUUAACCCCGCAGCACUCACCCCCUUAGCCAAUUAGAAAAUGCCACGUGGACCCCUGUCCACAAAUCAGUUUUUUCCUUUUUCUGUUUUAAUUCCAAAACAACAAAGUUUCAAUCUUGUUUUGGCCAUAACAUUUGAUCCCGAAGUCCAAUAGAGUUGAUUCUUUUUCCAGUAGCUCACAAAUUUACUAUAGUUUGUAAAAACAUAUAAUUUGUCUAUGUUUGAAAUUUUCAAAUAUAAGUUAGAUCAGAUUUAGUUUAAACCUUGUUUUGCUUAUUCCAGGAGUUUAAAAAUAGCUUUUAAUUUGAUUCCUUUUGGUACUGAUCACUAGUGAUCUUAUGUAUCAGUGGUAAAAAUGUCAGAUUUGUUUAAGUAUUUUAGCUCACUGUUUCAUGUGAAACAAUUUCUGUUUCACCUCUUUUAGGAUUGCGGCUAAUUCCUUUUCUAUUUUUGUUUUAAAAUAUUUUCUUUAUUAUUUCAGAAACAUUAUUGUUUUGUUUAUGUUAGUUAACAGUAGUUUUGCAACAAGUUUUUAUUUUAUUUUAUUUGUUAUCAUGAAAUCAAUUCUAGUUCCUUAGUAACUUGCAAUUGGUUUCACCACUGUUUCAAAUCCCGUUUGGGAAUACUUUCAAAAAAGUUUGGUGAAAAAUAUUUUAUUUUAUCUUAGUUAAACUUAUAUCUUAGUUCCUUGUUAUUAUUUUCUGUUAGACAAAAACUAUUUAGUGUUUGACGUAGUAGAAGACUCCCUAGUCUUAUUUGAAGUUUCUUUCGGUUUCCUAUUCGCUCUCUCUUUGGUUUUGAUUGCUAGAAUGAUUGCUAGUAUGAGUGCUUAUGUGAAUGAUAUGUUUGUUAUAUAGAUUUCAUCGGAGAGUGACGAGUAGUCUAUCAAGUUAUUUCUCGAGAAAUUCUUCUUCGUCAACAUCACCAGGCAAGUCACUUUGAUCAUACUAUCACCUAUGUUUUAUGCAUCGUAGUUCUACCAUCCUAUGCCCAAUUGCAUGCUGCUUAGGUACUUGGAAAUUUUAGUAUAGAUUGUAGUAUCAUGUGGUAGGCACACAACAACCCCGAUACUUGGCCCCGGGACGACAAAUUUCAUAUUGCUAUGCUUGAGUAGACGGGAUUUCGGUUGAGUGCAUAACACGAGUGAUGCGAGGUUGAUUAAAUAAUCAAGACCGGUCAAGACAAGAUUUUCAAGACCUCGGACGCAAUGCAACUCUGGGUGAAGGACGGUUGAUCGGCUCCCUGGAGAACCCAGUGGAUGACCCGGGAUGCUGGGGACGGCCAUGACAUCCUGCGGAAAGCUUCACCCAGGCUCAAAGAGACGGACGGAUAUUUUCAAGACCCAAGGCUUACCUGCACAGCCACAAGUCAUUAUGGGCUCUGGCUUGGUUGGACAACGCGGCGACUCUGGACAGGCGGUGCUAGCAGAUGUAGAAGAACGGUAGGAAUGGAUGGGCACCGACAAGGAUUCAGAGGGACCCGUUGAAAGACCAUGUUUUGAUCAUCCGGUCUUCAAACACCCUGAAGUGCGAGGACAAACACGGAGGCGAUCAAAUCUUGUGGGGAACGUGUGCAAAACUCUGCAGAGUACUCAAACCUAAUCGAUUAGCCGUAUCCACGGUCAUGGACGACUUGAGCCAAAGGAACUGAAGUUAUCUGGAUUUCUCAACACCAUUAAAUAUAUUUGAUGUGGGUAAUUAUUGACAACUCGGGUACGAGAACUGGUUGGCGGAACCAUCUCAUUAACAACCAACUACGUAGUAAUAUUUUGCUUUUAGCCCUCUCUUGAUGUAGGAGAAAAUUUGCUUUACGCUAAAACUUAUAGCCCCACCUGCCAAAUAUGCAUGUAGAGAUAGUUGGUUAUUAUUUUACUCCUCUCUUAUGUGACUUGCCGGCAUAUUCAAUAUGCUGACCUACACGGCUGCAACGUCUUAUGUUGCAGAUAUUUUUCUUCGACGAGUAAGAGUACGAUUCAGGGUUACGGUCUACACUCAACUUGCCGUUGGUGUUUAUUGGGACUCCACUCCCUUGACUGCUUCUGCUGAGAUAUUUAAGGUAUAUAUCAGUUUUACGUUAUUUACAUGUGAUUGCACUUUGAUAUAUACAUUGAUGUACUGUGUGUGCCAGCAUACUGAUCCAGGGAUGGCACAGAAACACAGAGGCUUGACUCGUCUUGAGUCGGGUCGCUACAUAAAGAUUCUUAUGGGAAAGUAACAAUGCCUUCACAAAGCAAAGCAUGAAGCAAAAAACCUUACCGAGAAGUAACCAACAAUAGUCCGCAAUUUAUCACAACCUCAGAAAGAGUCAAAUAAGAGCUUGUAAGGCAAACCCACAUACUCAAUCAUCUCUUUUGUUUUCCACAAUUGUUAUAACUCACGUGGUACUCAUGGUGUCAAAGUUUCAGCUGGACACAAAGGAAGAUAGGGGCUUAUAGUUUUGCCUCCCAUCGGUUUACCUCAAGGGUAAAGUCAACAACAAUAAAGCAUAAGUACUCAACUCCAAGUUGAUAUAGGAAUAUAGAUCUUUCCUAAACAUGCGACGGUAGCCAAGACAACAAAAAGCGAAUUGGUGAUGAUCACCAUGACUCUUACAAGGGUAAAAAGUAAAGGUACAAGAUAGGCCCUUCGUAGAGGGAAGCAGAGGUUGUCACGCGCUUUUGAGGUUUGGAUGCGUGUCCUCUUAGUGCGGAGGAACGUCACUUUAUAUUGCCUCCUAUGAUAAAGAACUUUAUUAUGCAGUCUGUCGCUUUUAUGUCUUCCUCACCGCAGGUUCGUACAAAGCUUAUUUUCCACACACUAAUAGAUCAUACAUAUUAGAGAGCAAUUUUCAUUGCUUGCACCGAUGACAACUUACUUGAAGGAUCUUAUUCAAUCCAUAGGUAGGUAUGGUGGACUCUCAUGGCAAAACUGGUUGGAGGUUUAUGGAUGCACAAGUAGUAUCUCUACUUGGUGCGGGAGUUUUGGCUAAUAUGAGGUGGAAGUAAUCGUCACAUGCUAAGGGAUCUCUAAUCAUAUAACAUUGUUUGGAACUAAGCAAACACAAUUCAUUAUGUUGUCUUCCUUUUCCAAUAUCUACUCCUAGGCAUGUAAUAGUUUGGUGAGUGCUCACAAUUGUAAAAAGUGUCUAAGAUGAUAUAUUUAUAUGUGAACCUCUCUUUCCUUAUCACUUCUUAUUAAUUGCAACAAUGACUAAUGUCUAUGUUGAUUUAUUCUCAACAAGUUUCAAUCAUCAUACAUGUCCCAAAUGAAGUUAUCACUUUCCAUAAGAUCGUCUCAUGAUCUUUCAUGCUAUCGUUCUUUUCAUACUUUUGAUCAUGGCACAAAGCAAAGCCCUUGACUACGACACUCUUUAUUAUAUAGCUCGUAAGCUCGAAUACAUUGGGGGAGAGACAAAAGCAAAAAACCUCAAACUAAAAACUAAAGACUUAUUCCUCUAAAAGAAGAAAUAAAAACUGAAAAGGAAAGAACUAAAAUAAAGGUAAAAGCAAAAGAUAUAAAGGUGAUACGAUACCAGGGCAACUCCCCCAAGUUUGGCAGAAGCCAAGGGGAUUUCCCAUACCAAUGCUUAAUUGUCUUCCUUUGGUGGUGAUGGUGUUGUUGUUGUUGGAGUAGUCUUGAGCUUGUCUAAUUUCCACUUGAGCAAAAAGUUUUGCUCCCUUAGAUCGUCAUUUUCCUCCUCAAGUGUCAAAACUCUGUGGCAAAGCUCCUGCUUACUCCCCUGCAAGAAACGAGAAGGGAUAAACAAGGUCUUAGGCUUCUUCCUAUGGUCAGGGAGGCUUGACUUCUUGAACUCCACAUGGGUGUUUGCAGGUUGAGGUAGAGGAGCCUCCUCUUCAUCGGAACUCGUUUGCUCCUUCCCUUUGGGCUCAUAGUCCUCUUCCUCAUCAGUGGUCCAGCCAUAUGGUUCCAAGUCCCCAUAGACCUUGGGGUUAGCAAGGUAUUCAGCCACAUAGCUCUCUCCCUCUGGAUCUUGAGAAGACAUCUUGACCUAGAUCUGCGUCAGAAACAAGCUCGAAACAAAAACAGAGGAAAACUGCGCGAUAUGGAGAUCAAAACCUUCGGGCGACUAUAUAUUAAUUUUUUUCUGGGCCAGAAGGAGUCCUCCGCAAGAAAACGGAGUCCGGGAGGCACACGAGGUGCCCACAAGCUUGCCCACCGCCACCAGGGGGGUGGUGGCAGAGUGGGCCCUUGUGGCUUCCUCGUUUGCUCUCCGGACUGCUUUUUAUUUUUCUAAUUUUCCAAAAAUUCCAAAAUUGAGGAAAUUUCCUAUUGGAAAAGCAUCGGAGUACAAUUUCUUGCCAAAAUAGAUACAUCUUUGUUUUCAAGGUCUGAAACAGGGUGAUAAACAUCCCUUAUGUACUCCUCUCGAGUUAUGACAUUGAUGAUAUUGGUCUCAACAUUUAUGGGAGUACCAGAGAUGUAAUGCUUGAUUCUUUGCCCAUUUACCACUAUAGGAAAAAUUUCUUCCGUGUUAUUGAUUUUGAUGGCACCGGAACGAUAUACUUCCUCGACAACAUAGGGACCUUCCCAUUUAGAGAGAAGCUUGCCUGCAAAGAAUCUCAAACGAGAAUUGUAUAGCAAGACAUAAUCACCCACAAUUAACUCUCGUUUCUGUAUCCGUUUGUCGUGCCAUCUCUUAACCUUUUCCUUGAACAACCUGGCAUUCUCGUAUGCCUGGGCUCUCCAUUAAUCUAACGAGCUCAUAUCAAACAACCGCUUCUCACCGGCAAGUUUGAAAUCAAAGUUGAGCUCUUUGAUUGCCCAAUAAGCUUUGUGUUACAGCUCAAGAGGUAAAUGGUAGGCCUUACCGUAAACCAUUUUAUACGGUGACAUGCCCAUGGGAUUCUUAUAAGCAGUCCUAUAAGCCCAUAGUGCAUCGUCAAGUUUGCUAGCCCAAUUCUUUCGAGAUCUAUUGACGGUCUGUUGUAGGAUCAACUUGAUCUCCCUAUUACUCAACUCAAAUUGACCACUCGACUGAGGAUGAUAAGGAGAUGCAACUCUAUGGUUGACAUCAUACUUAGCUAGCAUCUUGCGGAAAACACCAUGAAUAAAGUGUGAACCGCCAUCAGUCAUCAAGUUUCUAGGGACUCCAAAUCUUGGGAAUAUGACUUCUUUAAGCAUCUUAAUAGAGGUGUGGUGAUCAGCAUUUUUAGUGGGGAUAGCUUCUACCCACUUAGUAACAUAAUCCACAGCAACUAAGAUGUGUGUGUACCCAUUGGAACUCGGGAAGGGUCCCAUAUAAUCAAAGCCCCAGACAUCAAAUGGUUCAAUGACAAGUGAAUAGUUCAUAAGCAUCUCUUGAUGCUUACUGAUGUUCCCUAUCCUUUGGCAUUCAUCACAAGACAAGACAAACUUACGAGCAUCCUUGAGGAGAGUGGGCCAAUAGAAACCUGAUUGCAAUACCUUAUGGGCAGUUCUAUCUCCAGCAUGGUGUCCUCCGUAGGCUUAGGAAUGACACUUCUGCAGGAUCUGUCCCUGUUCAUGUUCAGGCACACAACAUAUAAUAACACCAUCUACUCCUUCCUUAUAAAGGUGAGGAUCAUCCCAAAAGUAGUGUCUCAAAUCAAAGAAGAAUUUCUUCUUUUGUUGAUAGGUGAAACUGGGUGGUAUGUAUUUGGCUACGAUAUAGUUUGCAUAAUUGGCAUACCAUGAUGCACUAAGUGAAGUGCGGACGACACUUAAUUGCUCAUCAGGAAAGCUGUCAUCAAUUGGUAGUGGGUCAUCAAGGACAUUCUCUAGCCUAGACAAGUUAUCUGCUAGAGGGUUAUCAGCACCCUUUCGGUCAACGAUGUGCAAAUCAAAUUCCUGUAGCAGGAGAACCCAUCUGAUCAGCCUAGGCUUAGCGUCCUUCUUCUGCAUAAGGUACUUAAUAGCAGCAUGAUUAGAGUGAAUAGUGACUUUGGAGUAAACUAUGUAAGAUCUGAACUUUUCACAUGCAAACACGACCGCUAAAAAUUCCUUCUCCGUAGUGGCAUAGUUUCUUUGGGCAUUGUCUAGAGUUUUACUAGCGUAGUGAAUGACAUUCAACUUCUUGUCAACUCUUUGUCCUAGAACAGCACCAACGGCAUAAUCACUAGCGUCACACAUGAUUUCAAAGGGCAAGUUCCAGUCAGGUGGUUGAACAAAUAGGUGCGGUUAUCAAAACCUUCUUAAGUAUUUCGAAAGCUUCCUCACAAUCCUCAUCAAAAACAAAAGGAACAUCCUUCUGCAAGAGGUUGGUAAGAGGCCUAGAAAUCUUAGAGAAAUCUUUAAUGAACCUUCUAUAGAAACCAGCAUGACCUAGGAAACUUCGUAUACCUCUGAUAUAUGUGGGGCAAGGCAUUUUAUCAAUUGCAUCAACCUUAGCCUUAUCAACUUCAAUGCCUCUCUCAGAAAUUUUGUGUCCUAAGACGAUACCUUCAUUAACCAUAAAGUGGCACUUCUCCCAAUUCAAGACGAGGUUGGUUUCUUCGCGUCUCUGUAAGACUCGAUCAAGGUUGCUGAGGCAAUCAUCAAAGGAAGACCCGUAAACAGAGAAGUCAUCCAUGAAAACCUCGACAAUCUUUUCACAAAAGUCAGAGAAUAUAGCCAUCAUACAUCUUUGGAAGGUGGCAGGUGCAUUACAUGAGCCAAAAGGCAUACGUCUAUAGGCAAAGGUACCGAAAGGACACGUGAAAGUGGUUUUCUCUUGAUCAGAUUGUGCAACAUGUAUUUGCGAGAAACCUGAAUAACCGUCUAGAAAGCAUAAGUGUGUGUGUUUUGAUAGCCUUUCUAGCAUUUGGUCGAUGAACGACAAAGGAUAAUGAUCUUUCCUGGUUGCCUUGUUCAGUUUUCGGAAGUCUAUCACCAUUCUAUAGCCGGUAAUAAUCCUUUGUAGGUUUAGUUCAUCCUUAUCAUUAGGAACGACGGUGAUACUGUUGGGUAACGUAGCAUAAAUUCAAAAUUUUCCUACGCAUAUUCAGAUCUUCCUAUGGAGAGACCAGCAACGAGAGAGGGGUAAAAGCAUCUUCAUACCUUUGAAAAUUGCUAAGCGGAAGCGUUGCUAGAACGCGGUUGAUGGAGUCGUACUCGCAGCGAUUCCGAUCUAGUGCCGAACUACGGCACCUCUGCGUUCAACACACGUGCGGCCCGGUGACGUCUCCCGCACCUUGAUCCAGCAAGGAGGAGGGAGAGGUUGGGGAAGAACUCCAGCAGCACGACGGUGUGGUGUCGAUGGAGAGACGAGCUCUCCCGGCAGGGCUUCGCCAAGCACCGGCAGAGAGGAGGAGAAAGAAUAGCAGGGCUGCGCCGAGGGAGAGGGAAAAGUCUAAUCUCCAAUGGCCAAAAGUGCCCACUAUAUAUAGGGGAAGGGGAGAGGGGGUGCCACCCCUAGGGUUCCCACCCUAGGGGGUGCGGCAGCCCCCCAGAUGGGAGGUGCGGCGGCCAGAGGGGGGAGGAGGGGGUGGCGCACCAACUGGUGGCCCUUAGGCCCACCUGGCUUAGGGUUUGCCCCCCUUUUCUCUCCCUUGCGCAAUGGGCUGAGUGGGGAGGCGCACCAGCCCACCUAGGGGCUGGUUCCCACCCUCACUUGGCCCACCUUACCUCCCGGGGUCGUUGCCCCCCUUCGGUGGUCCCCCGAGGCCACCUCCGGUGGUCCCGGUACGUUACCGGUGAUGCCCGAAACACUUCCGGUAUCCGAAACCAUCCGUCCUAUAUAUCAAUCUUUACCUCCGGACCAUUCCGGAGCUCCUCGUGACGUCCGGGAUCUCAUCCGAGACUCCAAACAACUUUCGGUAACCUCGUAUAACAAUUCCCUAUAACCCUAGCGUCACCGAACCUUAAGUGUGUAGACCCUACGGGUUUGGGAGACAGGCAGACAUGACCGAGACACCUCUCUGGCCAAUAACCAUCAGCGGGGUCUGGAUACCCAUGGUGGCUCCCACUUGCUCCACGAUGAUCUCAUCGGAUGAACCACGAUGUCAAGGAUUCAAUCAAUCCCGUAUACGAUUCCCUUUGUCUGUCGGUAUAGAACUUGCCCGAGAUUCGAUCGUCGGUAUACCUAUACCUUGUUCAAUCUCGUUACCGGUAAGUCUCUUUACUCAUUCCGUAGCACGUCAUCGUGUGACUAACUCCUUAGUCACAUUGAGCUCAUGAUGAUGUUCUACCGAGUGGGCCCAGAGAUACCUCUCCGUCACACGGAGUGACAAAUCCCGAUCUCGAUUCGUACCAACCCAACAAACACUUUCGGAGGUACCCGUAGUGCACCUUUAUAGUCACCCAGUUACGUUGUGACGUUUGAUACACCCAAAGCACUCCUACGGUAUCCGGGAGUUGCACAAUCUCACGAUCGAAGGAAAAGAUACUUGACAUUAGAAAAGCAUUAGCAUACGAACAAUACGAUCUAGUGCUAGGCUUAGGAUUGGGUCUUGUCCAUCACAUCAUUCUCCCAAUGAUGUGAUCCCGUUAUCAAUGACAUCUAUUGCCCAUGAUCAGGAAACCAUGAUCAUCUAUUGACUAACAAGCUAGCCAACUAGAGGCUUGCUAGGGACACAUUGUAAUCUAUUUAUUCACACAUGUAUUACUGUUUCCUGUUAAUACAAUUAUAGCAUGAACAAUAGACGAUUAUCAUGAACAAGGAAAUAUGAUAAUAACCAUAUUAUUAUUGCCUCUAGGGCAUAUUUCCAACAGAUACCUCCCUUCUUAGGUAAGCAAUGUACUGAACUUACCCAAUCACUAUGAGCGACAUGAUAAAUGAUUCCUGCUUCCAAAAGCUUUAAUAUUUCUUUUCUAACGACCUCUUUCAUCUUAGGAUUUAAUCUCCUUUGAUGAUCAGCAACUGGUUUAAAGUCAGGAUCGGUUUUAAUCUUGUGCUGACAUAGAGUAGGACUAAUACCCUUAAGAUCAUCAAGAGUAUAUCCAAUAGCAGCGCGGUGCUUCCUCAGAGUUUUUAGUAACUUCUUCUCUUCACGCUCUGAGAGGAGAGCACUAAUAAUGACAGGAUAUAUCUCCUUCUCAUCAAGAUAGGCAUACUUAAGAGUAUCAGGCAACUGUUUAAGCUCGAACACAAGAUCACCCUUUGGUGGGGGAGGAUCCCCAAGUAGUUCAACAGGCAGAUUAUUCUUGAGAAUAGGAUGUUGUUCUAAGACAAUUCUAUAUAUCUCAUCUCUCUCCUCCAUAUGCAUAUCAUUUUCAUGCUCAAGCAGAUAUUGCUCUAAAGGGUCCGUAGGAGGUACGGCAAUAGAGGCAAGAGCAAUGAUUUCAUCUCUGCCAGACGACUCUCUUUCAUGGGGUUGUCUUUCAAACUUGGAGAAGUUAAAUUCAUGAGACACACCCUCGAAACUUACUGUGACAGUCUGCUUAAUGCAAUCAAUGUGAGCAUUGACAGUGUUGAGAAAGGGUCUACCGAAUAUGAUGGGACAAAAGCUAUCUUGUGCAGUACCAAGGACGAGGAAAUCAGUAGGAUACUUUGUCUUACCACACAGGACUUCUACGUCUCUCACAAUUCCCAGAGGGCAGAUAGUGUCUCUAUUAGCUAGCGUGAUAGUGACAUCAAUGGGUUCUAUCUCAGCAGGUGCAAUCUCAUCUUUGAUUUCAUCAUAGAGAGAACGGGGUAUUGCACUAACACUAGCUCCCAUAUCACAUAAACCAUGGUAACAGUGAUCUCCUAUCUUAACAGAAACAACGGGCAGGCCAACUACAUGUCCGUGCUUGUCUUUCGCGUGAGGUUUAGCAAUUCUAGCGGAGUCCUCAUAGAAUUUAAUAACAUGCCCGUCUAUGUCUUCGGCUAAGAGAUCUUUGAUAAUAGCAACACUAGGUUCAACUCUAAUCUCCUCAGGGGGUGCAAGUGGUCUAAUGUAACCCCUACGUAUCACAGUUGGAGCUUUAGAAUAAUCCUUCAUUCUAGCAGGGUAUGGUGGUUUCUCAAUGUAAGCACAAGGAACAACAGGAUCACUAAAAGCUAUUAUUUUCUCCUCAACUAGAUUGGUUUUGGCUAUGUUGCUUUCUACUGGAGGAUGAUAUUUAAACCACUUCUCUUUGGGAAGUUCAUCAUGAGCAGCAAAAGAUUCACAUAGAUAAGCUACUAUCUCAGAGUCAAGUCCAUACUUAGCGCUAAAAUCUCUAGAAGUGUUUGUCUCAACAAAAGAUUUAAUGCAAUCAAACUGGAAAUUCAUACCUGAGUCCUUACCUUCCUCCAGCUCCCAAUCUUCAGAGUUGUGUUUGAUUCUCUCCAAUAAAUUCCACUUGUGAUCAAUAUCCUUCUCCAUAAAAGAACCGGCACAAGAAGUGUCAAGCAUGGUACGAUCUUCAGUAGAAAGCCGAGCAUAAAAGUUUUGAGUGAUGAUUUCUCUCGAGAGCUCACGAUUGGGGCAUGGAUAUAGCAUUGAUUUAAGCCUCCCCCAAGAUUGAGCUAUGCUUUCCCUGUCACGAGGCAAAAAGUUAUAAAUAAAGUUCCGAUCACGAUGUACUAAAUGCAUAGGAUAGAACUUUUGAUGAAAUUCCAAUUUCAAACGAUUGUAGCCCCAUGAUCCAGCAUCAUCACAUAGCCUAUACCAUGUCAACGCCUUAUCCUUCAAAGAUAAAGGAAAGACUUUCUUCUUUACCUCAUACUCGAGCAAACCUGCAAGCUUAAAUAAACCACAAACUUCAUCUACAUAAAUUAGAUGAAAGUCUGGAUGUGAAGAUCCAUCUCCUGUAAAAGGAUUAGCCAGCAGUUUCUCAAGCAUACCCAAAGGAAUUUCAUAAAAGAUAUUUUCAGUAGGUACCUCAGGUCGAGGAGCAAAUCCUCGUGCUUCCGUUCGUGGUGAAGAUACCCCGAACAAACUCCUCAAAGGAAGAGUUUCCAUAGUGACAACUUACAAUAAAUUUCAGCACAAUAUAAAAAUGUUUCCUUACCAAUUUCCACUUACCAAAGGCGCUUCACUCCCAGCAUCGGCGCCAGAAAAGAGUCUUGAUGACCCACAAGUAUAGGGGAUCAAUCAUAGUCCUUUCGAUAAGUAAGAGUGUCGAACCCAACGAGGAGCAGAAGGCUCUGAUAGAUGGAUUUCAGCAAGGUAAUAACUGAAAGCACUGAAAGUAGCGGUAACAAGUGAUUGUGUAGCGAGGUGAAACGUAGCAAGCAAAGAGUAACAAGUAAAAAGUAGUAGCAACGGUGCAGCAAGUGGCCCAAUCCCUUUUGUAGCAAGGGACAAGCCUGAACAAAGUUUUAUAGGAGGAAAAACGCUCCCGAGGACACACGGGAAUUUCUGUCAUGCUAGUUUCAUCAUGUUCAUAUGAUUCACGUUCGUUAGUUUGAUAGUUUGAUAUGUGGGUGGACCGGCACUUGGGUACUGCCCUUACUUGGACAAGCAUCCCACUUAUGAUUAACCUCUUUCGCAAGCAUCCGCACCUACAAAAUAAGAAUUAAGACAAAUUCUAACCAUAGCAUUAAACUAGUGGAUCCAAAUCAGCCCCUCACGAAGCAGCGCAUAAACUGGGGUUUAAGCUUCUGUCACUCCAGCAACCCAUCAUCUACUUACUACUUCCCAAUGCAUUCCUCUAGGCCCAAAUACGGUGAAGUGUUAUGUAGUCGACGUUCACAUAACACCACUAGAGGAAAAACAACAUACAUCAUAUCAAAAUACCGAACGAAUAUCAAAUUCACAUGACUAUUAUCAGCAUGACUUAUCCCAUGUCCUCAGGAACAAAAGUAACUACUCACAAGACAUAAUCAUAAUCAUGACCAGAGGUGUAAUGAAUAGCAUCAAGGAUCUGAACAUAAACUCUUCCACCAAAUAAUCCAACAAGCAUCAACUACAAAGAGUAAUCAACACUACUAGCAACCUUACAAGUACCAAUCAGAGUUGCGAGACGGAGAUUGGUUACAAGAUAUGAACUAGGGAUUGGAGAGGAGAUGGUGCUGAUGAAGAUGUUGAUGAAGAUGCCUCCCCUCCGACGAGAGGAGUGUUGGUGAUGAUGAUGGCGACGAUUCCCCCCUCCGGGAGGGAAAUUUCCCCGGCAGGAUCGUCCUGCCGGAGCUCUAGAUUGGAUCUGCUCAAGUUUCGCCCCGUGGCGGCGGCGAAACCACGAAAAAGCUCCCGGUUGAUUUUUUCCAGGUCAGGACGCAUCAUAUAGCAAAAGAGAGGGGCUAGUGGGCCUUCAGGCAGCCCACAAGCUUGCCCACCGCCACUAGGGGGGUGGUGGCGGAGUGGGGGCUUGUGGGGCCCUGGUGGCCCCCCUCCGGUAGUUCUUUCACCUAGUAUUUUUAAUAUAUUCCAGAAAAAAUCCACGUAAAUUUUCAGGGCAUUUGGAGAUGUGUAGAAUAGUGGACUAGGAUUUGCUCCUUUUCCAGUCCAGAAUUCCAGCUGCCUGAAUUCUCCCUAUUCAAAUAAUCCUUGCAAAAUAAGAGAGAAAAGGCAUAAAUAUGGUACCACAAGUAAUAUAACAGCCCAAAAAGCAAUAAAUAUCAACAUGAAAGCAUGAUGCAAAAUGAACGUAUCACAAUGCUACUAUCUUUUUCCACACUUGUGCUUCACAAUAGCACCAUGUUCUUCAUGAUUGAGAGUCUCUUGUUUUGACACUUCCAUAUACUAGUGGGAAUUUUCAUUAUAUAACUUGGCUUGUGUAUUCCAAUGAUGGGCUUCCUCAAAAUUGCCCUAGGUCUUCGUGAGCAAGCAAGUUGGGUGCACACCCACUAGUUCUCCUUUUGAGCUUUCACACACUUAUAACUCUAAGUGCAUCCGUUGCAUGCUAACCCCUACUCAUUCACAUUGAUAUCUAUUGAUGGGCAUCUCCAUAGCCCGUUGAUACCCCGAGUCGAUGUGACCAUCUCCUCCUUUUUGCCUCACAACCUCCACCACACUCUAUUCCACCUAUAGUGCUAUAUCCAUGGCUCGUGCUCGUGUAUUGCGUGAGAGUUGAAAAAGGUUGAGAAAUUAAGAGUGCGAAAACAAUUACUUGGCCAAUAUCGGGGUUGUGCAUGAUUUAAAUUCGUUGUGUGGGGAAUAUGGAGCAUAGCCAGACUAUAUGAUUUUGUAGGGAUAACUUUCUUUGGCCUUGUUACUUAAAAAGUUAGUGAUCACUUUGCUAGUAUGCUUGAAGUAUUAUUCUUUUCAUGUCGAUAGUAAACCAUUGUUUUGAAUCUUACGGAUCUGAACAUUCAUGCCACAAGAAAGAAGUUACGAAGGACAAAUAUGUUAGGUAGCAUUCCACAUCAAAAAUUCAGUCUUUAUCACUUCCCUACUCGAGGACGAGCAGGAGUUAAGCUUGGGGAUGCUUGAUACGUCUCCAACGUAUCCAUAAUUUUUGAUGGUUCCAUGCUAUUAUCUUGUCAACUUUGGAUGUUUUGUAUGCAUGAUUAUGCUAUUUUAUAUCUUUUUGGGGACUAACCUAUUAACUCAGUGCCAAGUGCCAGUUCCUGUUUUUUCCGUGUUUUUGACCCUUUUCAGAGAAGAAUAUUAAACGGAGUCCAAACGGAAUAAAAUCUUCGGAAUGAUUUUUUCUGUAACAGAAGAUACGCAGGGAACUUGAGAACCAAGGCAAAGGAUCCCAGGGGAGGCCACAAGCUCCCUAGCCGCGGCCUGGGGGCGCACCUACCAGGCUUGUGGGCCCCCCGUGGCUCCUUUUCCCUACUUCUUCCGCCUAUAAAUUCCCUAAAAAUCUGAAACUGCCAGAGAGAGCCACGAAAAUACUUUUCCGCCGCCGCAAGCUUCUGUCUCUGCAAGAUCCCAUAUGGGGACCGUUCUGGUGCCCUGGCGGAGGGGGAUUCGGACACGGAGGGCUUCUUCAUCAACACCAUUGCCUCUCCGAUGAUGCGUGAGUAGUUCACCACAGACCUUCGGGUCCAUAGCUAGUAGCUAGAUGGCUUCUUCUCUCUCUUGGAUCUUCAAUACAAAGUUCUCCAUGAUCUUCAUGGAGAUCUAUCCGAUGUAAUCUUCUUUUGUGGUGUGGUUGUCGAGAUCCGAUGAAUUGUGGAGUUAUUAUCAGAUUAUCUAUGAAUACUAUUUGAGUUUCCUCUAAUCUCUUAUAUGCAUGAUUCCGUAUCCUUGUAAUUCUCUUCGAGUUGUGGGUUUUGUUUGGCCAACUUGAUCUAUAAUUCUUGCAAUGGGAGAAGUGCUUGGUUUUGGGUUCAUACCGUGUGGUGUCCUUGCCCAGUGAUAGAAGGGGUAGUGAGGCACACAUCGUGUUGUUGCCAUCAAGGGUAAAAAGAUGGGGUUUAUAUCUAUUGCAUGAAUUUAUCCCUCUACAUCAUGUCAUCUUGCUUAAGGUGUUAUUCUGUUUGUAAUGAACUCAAUACACUAGAUGCAUGCUGGAUAGCGGUCGAUGUGUGGAGUAAUAGUAGUAGAUGCAGACAAUAUCGGUGUACUUGUCUUGGACGUGAUGCCUAUAUGUAUGAUCAUUGCCUUAGAUAUCAUCAUGACUUUGCGCGGUUCUAUCAAUUGCUCAACAGUAAUUCGUUCACCCACCGUAAUACUUGCUAUCAUGAGAGAAGCCUCUAGUGAAAACUAUGGCCCCCGGGUGUACUUCACAUCAUAUUUUCAGCUCUACACAUUUACUUUGUUGCACUUUCCACCUUCAGAUCUCACCUUGCAGUUAAUCGUGAAGGGAUUGACAACCCCUUUAUAGCGUUGGGUGCAAGUUUGUUUGUUUUUGUGCAGGUACAUUGGUGACUUGCCUUGAUACUCCUAUUGAAGGGAUUGAUACCUUGGUUCUCAAACUGAGGGAAAUACUUACUGCUACUGUGCUGCAUCACCCUUUCCUCUUCAAGGGAAAAACCAACGCAAGCUCAAGAGCUAGCAGGUAUCAAGCGACAAUAAAUUUCAGCACGUAGUAAUAAUGUUUCCUUACCAAUUUCCACUUACCAAGAGCGCUUAACUCCCCGGAAACGGUGCCAGAAAAUAGCCUUGAUGAUCCACAAGUAUAUGGGGUCAAUUAUAGCCUUUUCGAUAAGUAAGAGUGUCGAACCCAACGAGGAGCAGAAGGAAAUGACAAGUGGUUUUCAGCAAGGUAAUGUGUGCAAGUGCUAAAAUUGUAAGUAGCGGAGUAGUUUGAUUGCGAGAUAAUUUGUAACGAGCAAGUAACGAUAGUAGUAAAAAAGUGCAGCAAGGUAGCCCAAUCCUUUUGAGGAAAAGGACAAGCGAGAACGGUCUCUUAUGAUAAGCAAAGUGUUCUUGAGGGUACACGGGAAUUUCAUCUAGUCACUUUCAUCAUGUUGGCUUAAUUCAUGUUCGCUACUUUGAUAAUUUGGUAUGUGGGUGGACUGGUGCUUAGGUGAUGUUCUUACUUGAACAAACCUCCUACUUAUGAUUAACCAUCGCAAGCAUCCGCAACUACGAGAAAAGUAUUAAGAAUAAAUUCUAACCACAGCAUUAAACUUUUGGAUCCAAUCUGUUCCUUACGGAAUAGCGCAUAAACUAGGGCUUAAGCUUCUGUCACUCUCGCAACCCAUCAUCUAAUAACUAUUCCACAAUGCAUUACCUUAGGACCAAAUAUGGUGAAGUGUCAUGUAGUCGACGUUCACAUGACACCACUAAGGGAAUCACAACAUACAUAUCAUCAAAAUAUCGAACACAUAUCAAGUUCACAUGAUUACUUGCAACAUGAUUUCUCCCGUGACCUCAAGAACAAAAAUAACUACUCACAAAUGAUAAUCAUGCUCAAGAUCAGAGGGGUAUUAAAUAGCAUAAUGGAUCUGAACAUAUAACCUUCCACCAAAUAAACCAUAUAGUAAUCAACUACAAGAUGUAAUCAACACUACUAGUCACCCACAAGCACCAAUAUAUAGUUCCGGUACAAAGAUUGAACACAAAAGAUGAACUAGGGUUUGAGAGGAGUUGGUGUUGUUGAAGAUGUUGAUGAGUAUAGCCCUCCCCAAUAUGGGAGAGUUGCUGGUGAUGAUGAUGACGAUGAUUUCCCCCUCCGGGAGGGAAGUUCCCCCGGCGGAAUCGCUCUGUCGGAGAGAAAAAGUGCUCCUGCCCAAGUUCCGCCUCGAGACGGCGGUGCUUCGUCCCGAAAGUCCUCUCCUCCCUUUUUCUAGGUCAAAAUGACUUAUAUACCAGAAGAGGGGCACCAAAGGUGGGCCUGGGUGAGCACAAUCCACCGGGGCGCGCCUGGGCUCCUUGGCUCGCCCAGGUGGGUUGUGCCCACCUGGUGGGGCCCCUCUGCUACUUAUUUGCUCCAAUAUUCCUAAAAUAUUCCAUAAAAAUCCUCGUAAAGUUUUAGCUCAGUUGGAGUUGUGCAGAAUAGGUAGCCUGGCGUAGCUUUUUCAGGUCCAGAUUUCCAGCUGCCAGAAUUCUCCCCCUUUAUGUAUACCUUGCAUAUUAUGAGAGAAAAGGCAUUAGAAUUACUCCAAAAAGCAUUAUUAUACAAUAAAACAAUAUAAAUAACAGUAGAAAAACAUGAUGCAAAAUGGACGUAUCACUCGCUUCCCGCAUGCAUAGGCUUGGGGGCAAGCCUCAUCCCAAGAGGAGGGGAUGUUAGCGUACGUGGCAUGGGGGAUCCACAUGGCAGUGAUGACCACUACUCCAACGCUGUCCAACAACCCGCACGGCCUAGAUGACCCAACCUACGCUGCCAUGGACUUGUGUGGGCCAACUGAAGCCAGCCACAACACCACUUGAAGCCACGCGCAGAAGGGGAACGACAUCCAGUGGAUCAUGGACCCGGCGAAGACGGCUACCCGUUCUUCCUCCUACCCCCGAUCCCCUUGUCCAAUUCGUAUAAUACGCCUAUAAUCGCUGCCUAUGACUUGAAUUCGUGAGGUCAGUUAGUAGAUCAAGUGUAUCUACAAUUGGUUCCCUAAUAGUUGGGGACGAGACGCUCUUUUCUUCAAGGUAGUUUCUUACGCAAAGGCCAGGCGGAGUUCACGAAGCAUCACUUCAGCUACUCCGGGAAAAUAUACUACGUGUCGCUCCACUCCAAGAUUAGAGAUUCACAAAGUUAGGGUGUCUGAUGCCGCUCAGCCCGCUCCCAGAGUAGAGUUGUGGAGCACAGGACUGUCGAACAGGUUCUUAGAGGAUCCAGCUCCCCAAAAGAAGCGCACCCCUAGGGUGUGUUUGGUUGAGGAACCAAGUGGAAUGGGAUGUCAUUGUUCCAUUCCACCAGAAUGGAACAGUUUCCAUCUCUAUGUAUGGUUUGAAUAAUGAGGUGGAAUGGAAUGGUUCCGCCUCAAUGUUUAGUUGGUGGAAUGGAAUGACCUCGCAACCGCUGGUGCCACCCGCGUCGAUCGCCUCCCAGGCUACGAGCCAAGCGCCUCUUCCCGGCCAUGAGUCCCGCAUCCGUCAUCCCCCUGCUAGCCCGACAUCCGUCGUCCCCCUGCUAGCCCCGCAUCCACAAUUCACGCACCCACCAUUCCAUGGUUGUCGGUUGAGCGCUGGGCACUGGUGCUCGUCUACCUGGUCGUCGAUGCGAUUGAGAGAGAGGAUCGAACAGCCAUCGAAGUGCAUGAAUGAGAGGAGCGAGCUGUCGGCGGCGCGAUUGAAGGAGGGGAGUGGUCGUGCCGCGGAUGAAGGAGGGGAGCGGCCGGCGAAGCGGAUGAAUGAGGGGAGCAAUCGGCGGUGCGGAUCCAGGGAGGAGGAACCGACUGGGAGGAUCUAGGGAGGAGCAGCCGACGGGGUAGAUCCAGGGAGGAGCAACUGACGGUGCGGAUUCUCGAAGGGAGCCAAGGUUCGUCCGAGAAAAGGAGAAGUGAGAGGCUUCGUGCGAAGAGAGGUUGUAUGAGCGAUUUCGCGUGGUCCACUCGAUUUGGAGGAACCGCGUGGGACGACAUAAAUAGGGAAUAUGUUGUUUCUGGAAUCAGGUGGUUCUCGUUCCUUUGACUAUCCAAAUGCAAGAUGGACCUCAGAGAUGGAAUCGGACCAUGUUGUUCCACUUGAUGGCAUCUCCCACUCAACAUGUCCUACUCCGGCGAGCGGGAGCCGUGAGCCACACACAAUCCCACAGAUCCUCAUUGCGCAGAGCAUCCACAAAUCUUCUAUAAUAUAAAAUAAAGAAAGGGCAAAUCCAAUUUAAAAUCUGAAACAUCUAAUCUCAUCAUCAAUGGUCUAAAUACGCUAUUAACGAAGGCCUUCGUUAACAAACGAAACGCUAACCCACCACAUAUCCCGACUUGGUUGUUAAGUCGUUGCGCACGUGAAAGCACAUAUGCUCCCUUGGUGGUUUUGAUAAUUAAUGGCAACAUACAUUGUCUCUUGGACUAACACUUUUACCUAGCAUAUUUCAGGUUAGUCCACAGAGAACUUUUGCUAUAGGAUUGAGUGGAGAUGCCCCUUGAUGAAGGAAGGAAUAAGAUUGGCUAAAGCUUCAAGCAAGAAGACUCUUCAUUGUACACUUUGUGAGAAAUCACAUUUGAAUCCAUAGGGAAGCCAAUACUAUUAAAAGUGGAUGAGGUGUUAUGAUGAAUUGGUUGCUCAAGUGCUUAGAGUUAUCCACCAAAAAUACUCAACCACUCUUCCAAAAAAUAUAUGCGUCCCAAGCCAAAUAUACAAAAUCGCUGCCACCAACAUUUAUCACUCAGCCCUAUUGUUUUCAGACUUAGACAGAUCCAAGCCAAACCCUACCUUUUCGGUGCAAUCAAAACUGCAUCAGUGCUAACGAGUUCAGGUGACCAACUUUUUGUUGCCUCGAUACACAAAAUCGGAAUUUCCGAGUUUGAGUAUCAGUGUCACCGAGUUGUGUCAUAUGAUCGUUAGUCGCCUUUUCGGUGCCACCAAGUUGUGUAUAUUGGUUCCACCAAGAUUCAAAGUUGCUACCUUUUGAGCAAGUCGGUACCACCGAGUUUGUUACUUCGGUGUCACCGAGUUGGUCAAUCAUGGUGUAACAGUUGGAUUUUGUGUGCUGGCCAUAUAUGCCCCUCCACCUACCUCUGACUCGUAGAGGAAGGACUCAGAACACACACUUCAUCGCCAGAUUCAUUUUUCUGAGAGAGAGCCACCUACUAAUGUGUUGAGAUCAAGAGAUUCCAUUCCAACCAUUUAAACCUUGAUUUCUAGCCUCCCCAAGUUGAUUUCCACAAGAUCAAUCUGUCCUACCCCUGCCAAAUCUGAGACAGAGUGAUUGAGUGUUGAGGAUACUAUCUUUAGAAGCAUAAGAGCAAGGAGUUCAUCGUUCUACCACAUCUAUUACCUUUUGGAGGGUGGUGCCUCCUAGAUUGGUUAGUGUCGCUUGGGAGCUUCCUACUUCGUGUUGUAGAGUUGAACCAAGAUGUUUCUAAGGGCAAGAAGAUCGCCUACUUCGUGAAGAUCUACCAUGAGUGAGGCUAGUCCUGUGUGGAUGGAAGCCGUGGUGGAAUAGACAAGGCUGCUUCUUCAUGGACCCCUUGUGGGUGGAGCACUCCGUGGACUCUUGCAGCCGUUCCCUCCACUGGUUGAAGUCUCCACUAACAUGGAUGUACAAUAGCGCCACCUAUCGGAACCAAGCCAAAAAUCGUCAUGUCAACUUCUUCGUGUUUGAUCUUCCUAAACUCCACUCCUUACUACAUGUGCAAAAUAUUUACUUUCCGAUGCCAUACUUGUUGACUAGCAUGUGUAGGGUGAACUAGACUUGUUAGAAUCGCUAAAACCUGCCAACCAUUAAAUUGGGAAAAGGCUAGGAUUUUAAUUUAUGCAAGUAGUAUAUUCAAUUGAUAUGAGAGCAAGGUCUCCAAAACCUUGGUUUAAACACCAUUGUAGGAACAUGGGUGUGCCUAGUUUGGGGAGUAUUAGUUGUAUAGUGCAUAUUCUUUAUGGGGAAUAUUUUAGACAACGGAAAGAUGAAAUUCUUGAUGUAUUUGAUAAAUUCCAUUUGCGCAAGUAUGUUGAAUAUACCUAUGAGCCUCCCAUCGAUCCUUUCCGUCCUUCUCAUGAUGAAUAACUUGAUAUGCUUGGUAAUCUUAAAACUGUAAAUCUAAUCACUAGAGGACUACCAAGAAAUAUGCUUAAUCAAUUACAAAAUUUUGAGUGUGCUCACACUAUGUGGAAAGACUUAGAGAAAAGAUAUCCCGACUAUUCACUGAAAAAUCUUGAGAUCAUUUUCCAUAAAUGCAUUGCGUUUCACAAAAUGAAGCCAACCGAUCCUAAUUUUGAUAAAUGCCUAUUUGAGCUUCAUGACCUCAUGCGUGCUAAAGGAGAUGUAAUUACCAUUAACAAUGUCAUUGUUGAAGCCAUUCGAAUGCAUAAAUAUGAACAUUGUCAUAUUCAAAAUUCUAAUGAAACUCUUGUUUCUUAUGACGAGGGUAUUUUGUCCGACGAUGACAAUGUGGAAAUGGCUACUACGAUGAAGUUGAAGAGUUUGACAUCGAGUAUGAGAAGACCAUGAGGAACCUUAGUCUUAUGACGAACCUUAAAGACUAGAUGGCCAGAGGAAAGAAGUGGGUCUCGACAGUGGAUGCACUGAUCACAUGACCGGUGAUAAAGACAUGUUGUGUGAGAUCACACCAAAUCGUGGAACUCUAAGGUAUGUGACCUAUGGAGACAACUCCAAGGGUAUGGUACUUGGUCUUAGUAACGUGGACAUAUCUCAUGAUAGUUCCAUUCAAAAUGUCAUGCUUGUUGAAUCCCUUGGCUACAAUCUUGUUUCCAUAUCUAGACUAGCAGACUUUUGUUUAAAUGUGCUAUUUACGAAAGUUGAUUGGCAAGUAUUUCGUAGUGACAAUUAUAACAUGGUCUUUACUGGUAUCCCUAGAGGUGAUCUAUACAUUGUCAAUUUCCCUAAAAAAACAAACCCCGUACAUGUCUUAUUGUAAAAUCUUCUAAAGGUUGGUUAUGGCAUAAAAGGUUAGGACAUGUAGGUAUGCGUAACCUUGAUAGGCUUAUCAAAGGUGAUCAUAUUCUUGGUGUUAGAGAUGUUAUCUUUGACAAAGAUAGACUUUGUAGUGCUUGUCAAGCAGGAAAGCAAGUUGGUGGAAGUCAUCAUGUGAAGAACAUCAUGACUACAAGAAGGCCACUCGAGCUGCUUCACAUGGAUCUUUUUGGUCCCAGUGCUUACAAGAGCCUCGGUGGAAAUUCUUAUGGUUUAGUCAUUGUUGAUGAUUUUUCCAGAUUUACGUGGGUAUUCUUUCUUGAUGAUAAGUCGCAGGUAUAAAAGAUCUUCAAGAGUUUCGCUCAUAAAGCCCAAAAUCAGUUUAAAGUGCAGAUCAAGAAAGUUCGGAGCGAUAAUGGAACAACGUUCAAGAACACUAAUGUGUUUUCUUGACGAAGAAGUUAUCUCACAUGAGUUCUCGGCGACGUACACACCUCAACAAAGUGGAGUUGUUGAGAGGAAGAACCGGACUCUCAUAGAGAUGGCUAGAACGAUGCUUGACGAAUACAAGACGCCAAGACACUUUUGGGCAGAAGCCGUGGAAACAGCUUGUCAUGCCAUAAACCAACUCUACUUACACAAGCUUCUCAGUAAAACGGCAUACAAGCUACUCACCGGUAACAAACCCCAAGUUGGACACUUUCAAGCAUUCGGCUCUAAGUGUUACAUUCUCGAUAAGCAUCGUUGCACUAAAUUUGCUCCUAAAUCUCAUGAAGGUUUCCUACUUGGUUACAGAUCGAACUCUCACACUUACCGUGUCUACAAUAGCUUCACUCGUGAAGUUGAAGAGACGAUAGAUGUGAAGUUUGAUGAAUCUAACGGUUCACAAGUCAAACAAUUGACAUAUGAUGUAGGAGAUAAGGAACCUUCAGAAGCCAUCCAAGAUUUACCUAUCGACAAGAUUCGUCCCAUGGAGGUGAAGGAAAUUACUUCAUAAAUUCAAGUGGAAGCUCCUACUUCUCGUCGAGGAGAACAACAAAACACCAUGGAAGCAUCCACAAGCGGUAGACGACAUGAUGAAAAAGAAGAAGUACAUCAUGAUGAUCCACCUCAACCUUCCUCACCACCACCCCAAGGAGAUGACACCGUCAACGACAAUGUUUAAGAAGAUGGUGAUGAAGAUGCUCCACCAUCCAAAAAGAAGAAGUUAUCACCAGUUCAAUAAAGAGUGGACAAAGAUCAUCCGCUGAAUCAAAUAUUUGGUGACAUAAAACCGGGAGAAUCACUCGCUCUAAAUCUCGUUUAGCUAACUUUUGUGAGCAUUAUUAUUUCAUCUAUAGCAUUGAGCCUUUGAAGGUAUAAGAAGCCCUUCAAGACCCGGAUUGGGUGAAUGCCAUGCACUAAUAGCUACACAACUUCGAGAGGAAUCAAGUGUGAACACUGGUUGAAAAGUCCGAAGGCGAGCAAAACAUCAUUGGUACAAGAUGGGUGUUUUGGAACAAGCAAGAUGAAGAUGGACAAGUCGUACGCAACAAGGCGCGUCUCAUAGCCCAAGGAUACACGUAAGUCGAAGGUAUGGACUAUGGUGAGACUUAUGCCCCCAUUGCUAGACUUGAAUCCAUUCAUAUUCUUCUCGCUUAUGCCAAUCACCAUGAUAUUACUCUUUACCAAAUGGAUAUCAAAAGUGCUUUUCUAAAUGGUGAAAUUGAGGAGGAUGUUUAUGUCAAACAACCUCCCAGAUUUGUGAACCCUAAGAAAGCUAAUCACGUUUACAAACUUCGUAAAGCUUUAUAUGGUCUUAAACAAGCCCCUAGAGCUUGGUACAAAUACCUAACAAAGUUUCUUAUAGAAAAGGGUUUUGAAAUUGGUAAAACUGAUGCAACCUUAUUCACUUAAAGAGUUAAUGACGAACUAUUUGUAUGCCAAAUAUAUGUGGAUGAUAUUAUCUUUGGUUCUACUAACCCACAUUUUAGUGAAAAUUUUGGAAAGUUGAUGUCAUAGAAAUAUGAGUCAAUGAUGUGCGAGCAAAAAUUCUUCCUUGGAUUGAAAAUCAAACAAUCGAGAGAAGGUACAUUUAUAUCUCAAACCAAGUACACCAAGGACUUAAUUAGGAAGUUCAAUAUGCAAGAGUGUAAAGGUAUGAGAACCCCAAUGCCUACUAGUGGACAUAUUGACCUCACUAAAGAGGACAAACCAGUUGAUCAAAGAGUUUAUCAAUCAAUGAUUGGUUCAUUGCUAUAUAUAUGUGCCUCCCCUCGUGAUAUCAUGUUGAGUGUUUGCAUGUGUGCCCGAUACCAAGCGGCACCUAAAGAGUUUCAUCUAUCGGUUGUUAAAAGAAUCGUGAGAUACUUGAUACAUACACCAAACUUUGGCAUAUGGUAUCCCAAGGGGUCUUCUUUUAAUCUUGUUGGCUAUUCUGACUCGGACUAUGCCGGAGACAAGGUUGAUGAAAAAUCCACCUCGGGUACAUGUAAAUUUAUUGGGAGAUCUCUUGUGUCUUAGUCAUCCAAGAAACAAAACUCAGUAUCUUUAUCUAUUGCCAAAGUUGAAUAUAUAGUUGAUGGAUCAUGAUGUGCACAAUUACUAUGGAUGACUCAAACUCUUAAGGAUUAUGGCAUUCAUGUUAGAAAUGUUCCAUUGUUGUGUGACAAUGAAAGUGCUAUUAAAAUUGCCUAUAAUCCUAUGCAACAUUCUUGAACAAAACAUAUUCAAGUGCGACAUCAUUUCAUUUGUGACCAUGUUGGUAAAGGAGAUAUAGAUCUUAAGCAUGUUCAUAACGACAAACAAUUAGCUGAUAUAUUUACCAAACAACUUGAUGAGAAAGUAUUAUGUCAUUUGAGGAGUGAGUUGAACAUUGCUUCAAACUUGAGCUAGACUCACUCGGAUGCAUGCAAGGGCAUGAGCUUGACUGACUAUUCCAUGAUGCCAUUGAUAUGACACUAUCUUAUAUAUUUGAAAACUAUGAUCCCUUGUAUUGCAUCUAACUUUUUCUAGGUAUUUGCAAGAAAUACACUUCACAAGAUUGCCAUCAACCCAAAUCAAAAGCAAUCUUGUCAUGGCCAAGUAUCAACAGCCCCUCCUUCGAAGAUGGAGGAAUAAGACAACAAAAUCAUAUCCUUGACAAUUAUAUGAUGAUGAAAUUCACUCAUAUCAUUUGGAUAUAUUAUAUUCUUCCUUGCUGAAAAGUGAACCAAAACGACAUGGAUAGCUCCCAACUCAAGAUGAUAUUCAUCAACUUUGAGCAUCUGCAACAAGUUCACCUACAUGCCACACCAUCAACAUCAUUCAAAGGUAUGUACUCAUAUCCUUGAUAAAGCUUUGCACCAAGUCAUGAGGUAAAGCAACUAAAGUGAUAUGAAGACAUUAAAAAUGCUUAAUGAUGAGUAUGACCUAUGAUCAAGCAUUCUUGCUUGACUCCUCAAGUCAAAUACUCUAAUAUAGGUGACCUAGUCACUGCCCCACAUCUAGAUGGAGAUUCUUGUAUGGUUCAUAUUUUUCAUUGCAUACUUCCUUGUAACAAUUCAAAUCUCAUCUAUAUGUAUGUAUAUUUAAAAAAAACUUAUUAUUUGGUGUUGUUUUAUGUUCUGUUUCUCAAUUGGUAUCUUAUAACAAUCUUUAGUAUUUUCUGCCUAUUUUCAGUUAAGGAUUUGAUUUUCAAUGCAACUCGGUUUCACCGAUCUGGGAAACUCGGUCCAACAGAGUUCUCCCACACGCCUUAUUUUCAUUCUCGGUUCUACUGAAUCAUUUUGCCUCAGUGACUCCGAUAUUAUCACUGCCUUUGUUUUUUUGAUAUUUUCUGGACUUUUGCCUUAGGGGGAGAAAGAUUAUCAAUGAUGCCAUGUUUCAUUUCCUUCUAAGAUUUUAUUGAACAUUUUUUGGAAGCAAAAUCCGAUUACAUAUUUUCUAGGGGAGAAAACUUAUCUUGGGGGAGAAAACCUCGGCGAUCCCACACAAAAUAGAGGGAGAUUCAUCUAGGAUCCCUAUCAUAGGGGAGAUAGUUCAAGGAACUCUUAUCCAUAUUAAAGGGAGAAGAUUCAAUGAACCCUUCCCUACCAUCUAAGGGGGAGAAAAUUAAAUAAACUCUUAUUUCAUGUUCAAGGAACCAUUAUCAAAGAGAGAAGUAUCAAGGAUCCAUUUCUCUCAAUGAGCCCUUACCCUCUGACCUUUUUGGCAAUUAAUGCCAAAUGGGGGCAAUAUCAAAGCUUCCAAUAAACCUAUAUAAAGGGGAUAAAUAUCACUAACAAGCUUACACAAAAGAGGGAGAAAUAUUAAUAAGGGGAGAUAUAUGUUCCUAAGGGAAGGUCUACCUAAGGGGAGAUCUACCAAAAGGGAAGUGUAUCAAACCUUACAUAUUAAGGGCGAGAGAGAUAAAAUUGUUUCAGAUAUCAUUGCUAUUGGAUUGAACUUGUCUUAUCCUACCUACUCCCAAUAUCUAAAUGCUAUGAUUCAAGGGGAGAGGUAAUCUUACAUAUUCAUCCUUAGGGGAGAAAGUUCUAAAUUCUCUUGGAGACAUAUCUAUCAUCAAAUGCUAUUUUCAAUAUGUUCUCCAUAUCUUGGUACUUUUGAAACUCUUUGCAUCUUUACAAUAGAGUACUCUUGUGUUAUCUAACAUUUGUUUUCCCAAGUGUACUUCUACUGCUAAGACGUUCAAGAACCUCAAGGUAAGUAUAUGCAUCAUAUCCUUGUUCAUGAUGAUCUCUUAUCUCUUGCACAUAUUGUUUGCAAGAGUGAGUAACGAACAUGGGAGUUCCUCCUUCAUAUAUGUUUGAUGCAUAUAACCAAGAUCUAUGACUUGUCUUGUCCUUCUACCUUGUAUGUGCCCAUGCAUUCCAAAGCAACUAUCCUUUUAAAAGGGAUUGCACACAUUUAGGGGGAGCUUGUACUAGUCAUGUACUCCAUCUGUUCCUAAAUAUAAGUAUUUCUAGAGAUUUCACUAGUGAACUACAUAUGAAUGUAUAUAGACAUGUUUUACAGUAUAAAUUCAUUCAUUUUGCUUCGUAUGUAGACACCUAUAAAAUCUCUUGAAAGACUUAUAUUUAGGAACAAAGGAAGUAUCUUUCAAAGCCAUCAUAUUCUAAUGCAUAUCUUUAUUUGAAGCUUUGAUUGUAUGUUGUCAUCAAUUACCAAAAAGGGGAGAUUGAAAGCACAUAUGCUCCCUUGGUGGUUUUGAUAAUUCAUGACAACAUACAUUGUCUUUUGGACUAACACUUUUACCUAGUAUAUUUCAGGUUUAGUCCACAAAAGAGCUUUGGCUAUAUGAUUGAGUGGAUAUGCCCCUUGAUGAAGGAAGGAAUAAGAUUGGCUAACGUUUCAAGCAAGAAGACUCUUCAUUUUACACUUUGUGAGAAAUCAUAUUUGAGUCCAUAGGGAAGCCAAUACUAUUAAAAGAGGAUGAGGUGUUAUGAUGAAUUGGUUGCUCAAGUGCUUAGAGUUAACCACCAAAAAUACUCAGCCACUCUUCCACAAAAUAUAUGUGUCCCAAGCCAAAUAUCCAAAAUUGGUGCCACCAACAUUUAUCACUCGGCCCUACCGAUUUCAGACUUAGACAAAUCCCAUCCAAACCCUACCUUUUCAGUGCAACUGAAAUUGCAUCGGUGCUACCGAGUUCAGGUGACCAACUUUCUCUUGCCUCGGUAUACAAAAUCGAAAUUUCCGAGUUUGAGUAUCGGUGUCACCGAGUUGUGUCAUCUAACCGUUAGUCAUCUUUUCGGUGCCACCGAGUUGUGUAUAUCGGUUCCAUCAAGAUUCAAAGUUGCUACCUUUUGAGCAAGUCGGUACCAUCAAGUUUGUAACUUUGGUGUCACCGAGUUGAUCAAUCAUGGUGUAACGGUUGAAUUUUGUGUGCUGCGUAUAUUUACCCUUCCACCUACCUCUCACUCGUAGAGGAAGCGCUCAAAACAUACACUUCAUUGCCAGAUUCAUUUUGCUGAGAGAGAGCCACCUACUCAUGUGUUGAGAUCAAGAGAUUCUAUUCCAACCAUUUGAACCUCGAUUUCUAGCCUCCCAAGUUGCUUUCCACAAGAUCAAUCUCUCCUAACCCUGCCAAAUUUGAGAGAGAGUGAUUGAGUGUUGAGGAUACUAUCUUUAGAAACACAAUAGCAAGAAGUUCAUUGUUCUACCACACCUGUUACCUUUUGGAGGAUGGUGCCUCCUAGAUUGGUUAGGUGUCGCUUGGGAGCCGCCUACUUCGUGUUGUGGCGUUGAACCAAGAUGCUUGUAAGGGCAAGGAGAUCGCCUACUUCGUGAAGAUCUACCGUAAGUGAGGUUAGUCGUGUGUGGACGGAAGCCGUGGUGGAAUAGACAAGGCCGCUUCUUCGUGGCCCCUUGUGGGUGGAGCCAUCCUUAGACUCAUGCAGUCGUUACCCUUCGUAGGUUGAAGUCUCCACUAACAUGGACGUACAAUAGCGCCACCUAUGAGAACCAUGCAAAAAAUCAUUGUGUCAACUUUUUCAUGUUUGAUCUUCCUAAACUCUACUCCUUACUACAUGUGCAAAGUCUUUACUUUCCGCUGACAUACUUGUUGACUAGCAUGUCUAGGAUGCGCUAGACUUGUUAAAAUCGCUAAAACCCGCCAAUCUUUAAAUUAAGAAAAGACUAGGAUUUUAAUUUAUGCAAAUAGUCUAUUCACCCUUAUUUUAAGGGGGUGUUUGUUUUCACGGACUUUUUGGUGUAGGGACUAAAAAAGUCCCUUUUAGUCCCAUGUGAAACAAACAUGAGGAACUUUUAGGGACUAAAAGAGGGUAUUUGGGACUAAAGUAAAAGUUCAUAUGAAAGAGUCUUUUUGGGACUUUUUUGGUACUUUUUCCAACAGUGCCCCUACUUUUAGUAUGUUAUUUAAUAACUUCUACUCCUUCCGUUCCCAAAUAUAAGACCUUCUAGAGAUUUUAAUUAGGAGACUACAUACAGAGCAAAAUGAGUGAAUGUACACUCUAAAAUAUGUCUAUAUACAUCCGUAUAUAGUUUAUAGUGCAAUCUCUAAAAGGUCUUAUAUUUAGGAACGGAGGGAGUAUUACAUUACUAGAGAUAACAUGGUCUUUUCACAUGUCAUUUAAUGAUCUCUAGUCCUUGUUUAAUCCAUCAAAACAAAUGUAUAAAGCUUUUUAGUUGAGACUAAAAAAAGUGAAACUUCUCAAACAAACAGGGCCUAAACACCUCUUUCUAUCCAUCUCACAGCACGGCUUCGCCCUGCCAAAUGCCAACUGCUCCCGCAUCUCCUUCCUACUAGCUAAAUACCCGUGCGUUGCAACGGGGGAUAAACAUCGAAUCCGUUCAAUAUAUACCUUAUAUACCUUUAAGAUCCGCAAUAAUGCCACUUACGGAGCGAACAUGGGCUAGUUGGUCCAUGGUUUCACCAUGCUGAAUUUUUCUCUCAAGCCACCCUAUAUAAUACAUCGAUUUGUGGAGUUAAUCUCUAUAGUUAUAGGUUUGGCCCCCUCCAAUACUCUACAUGUCCCCCCUAAUAAUAUAGAUACUCAGGCUCCAUCGCAAGGAUAAUAAAAUAUAAUCAAUUUUUUUUUUGCAUUUUUCACUCCAUGCACGUUCCACUUCAAAUCAUGUCUUGUUAUUUUUCAUUGCAAAUCUUCAUGAUCUUACAUCUCACCUCCACUCACCAUUUGACUUGUCACCCGUUUCUCAGAUAUAGCAUGCAAUUUUGUAACACGGCCUAUAUAUCCCCAUCCCACCGUGCACAUCUUGCUUGCUCCCAUGCAAUUUUUCAUCACAUCCUAUAUAUCCCCAUCCAGAUGUGCAUGUCCUACUUUCUCAAACUUCUUUACACUUUAUUUGCUUCCUUUCUCAAACUGCUAAGUGCCUUUUGGCACCAUUCAACGGGGAUGAGCAGCUACACCAUACCAAUAGGCUUUGCACAAUUUGGUUCAACCUAUAGACCCGUAAAUCUAGAGGAACCUAUCUUUUCUUAAAGCGAAAGGAAAAACCUAUGUGUUGUAUCGCUAGCACAUUAUACCAAUAAUAAACAUACAAAUGUGUUAUUGCCAAUCAAGCCAAGGAAAAGAAAUCGUACAAUUUGUUAAGAAUUUUCCAUUUUGAUGCCAUAUCAUAGGUUUGAAUUGCCGAGCAGCGACAAGAUAAUUUGUCCAGUUAGGAUAAGAAUCACAAAUAAAAUAGAGCAUCUUAAUUUUGUAUUUUGAUCUACAAAUGGCUGCUACAACAAUCAUGAGUCACAGGGACAAAAACUUAAGCCUCAUUGAGGCAAAAAGAAAGUAUACAUCUUUAAUUUACAGUCUUACCUACAGAUAACUGCUAACACGAUACAUGACCAGUCCAGGUGUUGCCUCUUUAAUUAAAAGUACAAUCUACAUACAAGACAUAUUUCAGAAUGACUGCUGCCUUGCAGCUCCUACAAACAAUAUAUAUUGGUAUACGUAGUAGCAAAUAUUGACAGUAAUGUCCACAAUAAGUAUUCCGACGGAUGGGAAGGAUAUUUCCUGGUCUCCCAUUAUGAUCAAGUCCAGACAGAUUCUAAUAUCUAUAUUGAUUUAAACCGGUCAAUGAAACACUCAACCCACAAUUGCACAUAGCUGCUGACUUGAAAUAAUUUAUUCAAGGUGAUGCUAAUAGUAAGAGAUGUGUGAAUAUCAAAAUUGUAACAUUUUUUUGUGUUCACAUCACACAUUUUCUGAUUUAGAUUCAAACAUUCUGGAAAUCCCAAUAUCAUAAACACUAAAUCCCACAUUUAACAAGUCUAUUGAGAGUGUUAUAACUUGAGGUCUAGAAACUGAUGCAACAUUAACUCUGAGUGAAAAUAUAUAUUUAAAAAUAUUUUAGAUUGAAAUUCCUAAAUAAAUUGUUAUUGAACAAAAGUGUUACGUAGCUUUGAUGAACUAAAUAAAUCCAUUGUCAUGGUGUCAAUUUCUAAUGGAAGUCCAUAUACAACUCAUCCUUGCGGUGAUUUAUGGAAAAGAAAAUCAUAAUAUAUGUCAAAAUUUAUACUGCUGGUGAAACUAAAUUGGGAUUUACAACAUGAAAAGUGCAUCUAACUUUAAAACCAGUAGUGCGACAUCUCUCAACAACAACUUAGGAGCCUAUGCCUUAGAACAAUUUAAUCCGGCUAGGAUGCAAAAUUAAUGACACUGGAUUCAGCAGAAGCAUGCAUGGAUACUGUGAAUUUUUAUGUACCCGUUCGACGCUGGAUUCAAUAUGGUCAUGCGACGAUAUGGGGAAGACUUGCAUACCUAUUUAUGUUUGAUAAGGUAACUUUAUUCAUGAAUACCAGUUACCAUCAUUCUCACUUCAUGUAUCCUUCAGACUCAGCUAUGGAUAGAAGGGCACUCGUAGAAGUAGGCAUACAUCGAUAUAAGGAACAACACGUGCAACCUAUAUGCCCCCUGUAUUGUAGUCCUCAAAAUCACAUGCGGCAGAUGACCUAGUAGCAAUCUCUUGACAAGAACAUCAUGAAACCAUUUGGUGAAAAUACAUAAGCAAUCAUAUAUAUAACGGGAUGCAUGGAGUCCUAAUAAAUAUACAAAACAUCACAAUAUAUGCCUCACGAUAUCUGAAUCCAUCUUUGUUUCAUUUUUUUCAGCUGCAUCUUUGUUUCCUAAAAAAAUACGAAACUAUGCUCAGUUGGUAAUGGAACAAAACAGAUAUCUUGGUUAAAAAUACAACACUUCGAGGUAGCUCUAGUUGACAAAUCAAUAUUAACGAUAGAUGCUUGAGUGAAGCAUGUGACCUUCGUAAUUGAUUUGGCUACUAUAUUUUUGAAUAAUAUAUGCCAAAAAAUAUUGGUUAAAAUUAAUAUUCAAUUGAUGCAUGCUGGACAUGGAGGCAUUUUAUUCUAAAUUGUUGGCACAUAAACAACAAAACUACAUAAUCUUGGAUACAUAGGCUGGUCAUGGGUAAGUGAUUCAAAAAAGAAUCUCCACUGAUUAUCUUGCAAAAUUUUGGAUACAUUACUGGAUCAUAUUCUAUCAAUUCAAAAUUCAUCCAUUGUGAAUGAGACAGUCACUAUCGAGCCAUGGAUAGUAGAAAGCAUCGGUCACCUCUCACUUGUGCCUGCGUAUCAUCCAACACCCCAACGACGGGACCAACCAUAAACUGAACCAAAACCCCUUCGAGAAGAAGCCAGGUUGUACAAAAAAAUCAAUUUACUCCAUGUCCUGCACGUAAUCCAUCAUACAAACAAUUACCUACAGAACAAACACCAGUCCAAGAUCGAAGAUCCAGUCUUAGGUUGUGACUUGCCCUGAUAAGGGGCUAGAAGAUGUCUCUCGUGCAUAUGUAGGCAUGUUCAUCGUCGCCACCACAACAUGUGGAAUUUUGCCAAGCACCACCGGUGACUCGUGCAGCCACCGCCUGCAUGCGAAGCCUGAGAGGAUGCAGCAGCGCAGGGAGAGAAGGUGGCAAUGCUGGUGGGGAUUGUCCUGGGGGAGGAGAGUCGCAUGUGUAAAAAUUGGUCAGAACCUACCAUAGACAACAGAAAUAAUGAGCAAACAUCUAGCGUGCACGCCAUGCCACAUCGUAGUAACUCGGAUAGAUGACCAAUCAAGAGAUGAGUAAUCAAGCUGGGGUUGUCCUUGAAGAAGACGUCCUAAGACAGAGACGACAUUACUCACCAGCUUACGAUCGAUAUCCAGAGUUGACGCGGCCUACGACGUCCUAAGACAGAGACGACAUUACUCACCAGCUUACGACCGAUAUCCAGAGUUGCCGCGGCCUACGGCGGUCUCGCCUCCACCACUGCCAAAGUUCAUGGCGAUGUUUAAACCGAUCCAUCAAGGUCGUGACGGUCUCGCCUGCAUCGUGGGCGACACCCCGGCCAGCUUCACCACUCCGCCCACCCCGCGUGCCACUCUCCCCACGGCCGUGUCACAGCAUGCUCCACUCCGGCCCGGCCAUCUGGGUCGCUGGGCCGCCCCUGCCCGCUGGCCUCCUGCGUUUCCCCGCGUCGGCCCGGCCGUCCGCGUUGCCAUGCCCCGGCCCUCUCCGCCUCCACCCGCCCGCCCCGAGCGCUCCACUUCGCCGGCGACAAGGCCCCUCCGGUGGCUCCUCCAGCUUCCUCGCCUCCAAACUCCAUCGCCUCCUCUGGACGAGGUUGGAUGGGUGAUGUAAUUUUCUCUGGAGAUGGGACGGGGCCGCCAACGCCGGCGAGGGAAAGAAUUGGAUCGAGGGACUCCUCAACGUGGGCUCCUGCGGCGGCGCGGCGGUUUGGGCUGGACGGUAGAGUGUAGGGCGGAGCGGGGAGAUUUCUCUCGGAAGAGACGGCAACAAGGGCGAGGGGGUCGGGGAAGAUUGGAUCGUGGGAUCAUGGGUGUUUCUUUUUCCUUUUUUUUUUCUUUUUUUUUUACGUUGGAUGAAAAGGAGUGAGUCAGGGAACGGGACGGGGAGGUAGAGGGGCUUCUUAUCGUAUGGUUUUUUUUAUUAAAUCAAUUGGUUUUUAGAGGGUUGAAAGAAAAUCUAUUGGAGGUGGGUGGGAAAAAAGCUCGCGUUAGGAGGGGGGAACGAAGGAGGUCGAACCAUCACGAGGACCGCAGAUCCCUUUUAAGACACUCGCCCAGCCCGUGCAACCGCCGCCGCCGCCCACCCCUGCACCGCCACGCCCAGCCCUGCUCCGCCGCCGCCAUGCCCAGCCCCUGGCACACCUUCUGCUCAACCGACGCGGCCGUGGGUCGCCGUCAACGCCCCUUGCUCCUCCUCUCCUCCCUGAUGGACGUGAGCGCGGGUCUCCGGCCGGCGGGCGGCGGCACCGAAACGAGCGAAGCUGAGCAGUGGGGGUGGUGGAUUGGUCAUGAGGACAACGCAGAGCACGAGCAGCGGCUAAUUGCGCUCGCGAUAGUGAUGGUUGUAAUCCUUUAUUCAAUCAGUGUUGUAAUCGUUUAUUCAAUGUCCCCUGCAAAUUCUGACGUGCGUCCAUGAUGCUGCCAGCGUGCUGUGCGUGUUGGAUGAAUCAUCGAGGGCAUGCGCGGCUGGCCGGUCGGCUGGCAUGUGUGCUCUACGUGUGUGUUGACUCAGGUACUCAGAUGUUCUUGUAUGUACGCUCGAAAAGUGUUUGCGUCAAUGCCUGACUGGAAAUUGUUGUUUCAACCUUUGUAUUUUAGUUCAGAAAUAAGAAAUCACUAGCUCCUUCUAUUUUUAAUCAUUAUCACCUUCUUAUCCUGGUAGUGUUCAAGUUUUUUUAUCAGGGCCUUGUCUUGAAUAUAACUGCACUGUAGGAAUUGCACACUUACAUGGGCCAUGUCGAACUCUGAUAUACACGUUAGCUCCUAGAAGUGUUUCCUUCAAUCAGUCUUCUCUUGAAAUUUCGUCCUCUCUUCAAAACAUAUGUUUCGGCGUGAGCCUGCCCUGCCUUACCUGAACCCCGCUUCCAUACCAACCAAUGAUCUUUUUUGCUUUCUUUAUCUACAAAUUAGGGAUGAAACAAUAAACACUUAUACUAUGAUGCAGCUAUUGACAUGCGUGGUAAAGAUGCUCUUAUCAACUUUGAACCAAAUUUCUGAUGAUGACAUCCCAACGAUUGUGGUGUAAUGGUCGGGUACUAUGACUUCUUUUGUUGAUGCAAUUUAAAGGUUUUGUGUGUGAGUCAUUAUCGUGUAAUGUCUUAGAUCUGAAAAGUAAUGGAGUCGUGUAAAUUCGAGCUCUGGUUCUUAUGUAAUGGGGUACUGCUAUGCAUCACUUACGUAGGUGAAAACACGGUAGAAACAAAGGUAUCUUGCUGAUAUCAGUUAUUUGGGAAACAACUAUUUUAUAUAGAAGCUUCCUUUCUCUUAGCCAAGAGAGGAAAAUGAUUUCUGAUUUUAGUUCAAAAUAUUAUGAUGUCAAUUCAUUGCUUCACCAAAUCAAGAGAUCUUUUCCAAGAGAAUGGAUCUAGCCUGGUCACAUUUUCAUGUAAAUAUAUGCGAUUUUUAGGGCCUAUUGCUAGGUCCCUUCUUCAUGGCCAUGCCAUCGUUUCCCCAAACCCAGGUGAACUAUUUAUCCUUUUGAUUUAUAUACCUUUGGUUCUCCACUUCAGUUUCCAUGCUUUUCCUCCAUAUACACACCUCAAGCUGGGGAUUGGGAAGCACAGAUGGGACAGAAAGCUGCUACAAUGCUUCGUGAACAACUACGCAGAGUUCAGCAGCAAGAAGGUAAAUCAUUAAAAAUUGUGCAGCUGUAGAUAUGCACCAAUUUGUGAUUUAGCACUCUGACUCUGUAGUUCAAAAUUUGGUAUUAGCAUUUGAUUGUGCUAGAGAUACAGUACUUCAGUUCCUAGUCAAAUCGGUUUUGCAUAGGAGGUGGAGGAUUGAGCCAAAAUCUUCCUCUUUGGGACUUCUAUGUUUGGAACCAUAGUGCAUGUUGGGGAUAUUUUUUUUUUCAAAUAAAAUUACUCGCUGUAUUCUCACGUGUUUCAUUAUUUUUAUGCAUUGUGUAAUGUGUAUUUAUCAGGUACUACAAAAGAUUUUGUUGUGAUGAUGCAAAGCAUGAUUUAAUAAUCUUCUACCCUGCACAUUUUGCAUAUGGUUUCAUAAACAUCGUGCUUUUCUCCAUGUCAGCUACCUAGUCAGCUUAAGACUCAAUUAAUGGCUGUAAAAUAUUUUGGUGAUGAUUUUGGUGAAUGACUGAAGGCCCAAUCUAUCUCUAUCAAUUGUAGGAUUGGUAAACCUCUCAUCUGUGGAGUGAUAUUGAUUUGUCAAGAGCUAUCAAAAGGUUUGCUGCCCAAUUUAACCACCUUCAUGCUUUUUAGUUGCAACACAUACAAAAGUGAAAUAAAAUUUAGAUGUAUAGCUCAGCCGAGGAAACCCAUUUUUUCCUUUGAUUUCUUCUUCUGCAGGCAAGGAACCAUCUUGCGCUCAACCAGAUUCAUACUUUCCCAUUAAGGUAAACCUUUCGUUCCCGUUAUGUCUUUGUUCAAGUAUCGUUCAUAGUUUUUUACAGUUUGUAGUCCAUUCCUUGAGAUCAUGUACUUUUUUUGGCAUGCAGAUCAUAUAGUUUUAGCCGCACAAUUUAUAGUUAGAGCAUAACGAGCACUCAUAUUUGGAUUAUGUUCCUUGAUCCGCCUAUGUAAAAUAUUUGUAUGUACUUGAAUUGCAGUUUGACAUCUAAGGCCCUGUUUGGAAUCACAAUAGAUUAUGAUAAUCUGGAUUAUGAAGAUAGAUUAUAUAAUCUGGUUUAUAAAAAUAAUCUAGGUGGACAUGUUUGGAGGCCAGAUUAUAUAAACUGUAAUCCAGGUUUUACAUUGCAUAAUGACCUGUCUGCCCUUUGUUUAUUUUAAAAAAGAGGAGGAUGGCGGUGGCAGGAAUGUAAUUAUCUCCAACUUUACAAGGGUAAUGGGUCAUUAGCAAUCCAUAAUCUGAUUUUAGCUGGGGUAGAGUAGAUUGUGAGUUUUUAAUAAUCUGUCCAUCUAGUUUUUAUAAUCUACAUCAUAAUCUGUCCUGUUUGGAGACAGAAUGGAUUAUAUAACCGGAGUGGUUCCAAACAGGACCUAAAUAGAUUGGCUCAUAGCUUUAUGAUGUCGUAUACUGCCUCCUAAAAUAUGGAAUUGAUAUUGUAACAAUUGGCCAAUGCUCUUUAUAGUUGUUGAGAAAUGGACGUGGGCAUCUUAAUUCUUAAACACAACAUUUCCAAUCAUUUUUAUGACUCCGGAAUUAGGAAUUAUACUGACUUUACAUGAGAUUUUUUUCUUCAAAAAAUUAGGUUUAUUUAAUGAUAGAACUAAAGACCGAGCUAGGCUUCGGCCGACCGUCCCAAGCGUGCACCCGCCCGAUUUCAAUGCAGCCAUUGGAAUUUUUUUUGAGCAUACAACCAUUGGAAUUCGUGUCCCUAUUUUGUUCACCUCCCCCAACACAGAUUGACUCUACCCCCGCCUCCGCCUCCCCAUGCACCCUCGCCCUGCCUUCUUUCAACUCCGGUGGACACCACUCGCCAUCCACGCUGUCGCGCCUGGGUGCAACGCUUUCGUGCCAGUUCCAGUAUUUGUGACACAUGGUUAAAGCAUCGGCUCUCGCCGGCCACAACAUUUAGCGACACGUGCACCUACCGCUCCCUGUCGAUAGAAGCCCCGCUAGUUGAUAGUUCCAGCUCUGCUUAGGUUGAUUGUAGCAAAAACGAUUGCUGGUUCCAGCAAAACAUGGCGGUCACCGUCCGUCACUGCCCCAACACCAUCCUCUCAAUUUGUAGCAAAACCAAAAGCUGGUUCCAACAAAAACCAAAAGUGGUUCCAACAAUAAUGUAACAAAAAUCAUGGCCGCAUCGACACCACCAUCCUCUCAGUUUGCAGCAAAUUCAAAAGUUGGUUCCAACAAAAAAUUAAUGUGUCUAGACAACGGCACCACCAUCCUCAUUUGCAGCAAAUCGAAAGCUGGUUCAAGGAAAAAUCAAAAGUGAUUCCAAAAAAAUGAAGUUCCAGUGUCACGCGGCAUGCCAUAGUCCACAACCACACGGUCGCCAGUCGCACUUAGGUCAUGGCAUCAGCCUUUUGCAGGACAGCUUCGCAGCAGUCGACUUCUCCUCGUAGCAGCGACCAUCGCUCAUGAGGGAUAGGUUGAGGAGGUGGAGAAGGGCAUGGAUAAGAGGAGGAGCUUCUUGCCGACGUGGAGCCAGUGGAGGAAGAGAGUAGGGUUCGUGCCUGGUGGGUGCAGUGGCUGCCUCGCCGGAGUACAUCAAGGGGACAUUGAGCCAGGGUAAGAGAACGGGCAAAUCAGCCUCGCCGGAGUACAUCAAGGGGACAUUGAGCCAGGGUAAGAGAACGGGCAAAUCAGCGGAUAAUAUGAUGAGAGCAAGUAAAACAAGAGGACGAGAGAUAUGGUUAAUUGGGAGAUGACGUCAGACACAUGAUCUCUCACGAUCCAACACCCCGUGCGCGAUCGGCUUACUUAGCCGGUCGACCGGGUAGAAAUCCUUUGCCUAGAAUUAAUGUACACAUGCAAGUUUACUAGUGUCCAAAAAGCGCAUGCGGGUUAGCACUCGGUAGAGGCGCGUUUCCUGUGCAUUUUUGCAAACGGGCGCUUAUAGCGCUCCCGCAUCGGGCCGGUCCAUCUUAGCGUUUUUCCAAGCUAAAAAAAAGGAGAGAAUGCCGGGGCUCGAACCAGCGACCUCGCCACCGGGCACGGACCUUUUCCGCCUUUUUUUAUUAACUAGUAAAAGUGCCCGUGCGUUGCACUGAGUACGAAAUAAAUAAAUAUAACAAGUAAACAUGGAUAUGCUCUUACUUGAUGUUUCAAGUUGCAUAGUAUCUGCACUGAUAGUGAACUGUCCUAUGGCAAAUUGAAACAAAUUCUGUUGCAGAAAUAGAAGUACAAUUGUGAUCAAAAGUACUGGGAUAAAAUUUCGAAACAAAAUGGAUGACUGAUUUUAGUUUAAAGGGCUCACAAAACAGCGCAUUAAGAUCUCAUUGUUGCAUGGCUAAGGCUCAAACCCAAGAAUAGCCAUGCACUCUGGUUGAAGAAUAACCAUGCAAAUCCUCAACAAAUUCAUUCAGAAAUUGGCUUCUUGUAGUUCAUUCAGAAUUCAGAAACACCAAGAGUCCAAUCGCGGGCGUUGGUAAGGUUCAUAGCUUCUGAUAGAAUUCACUUAGCUAGAAAAUUAGUAAAAAAAUGAAAAGCAAACUAAUCGAUGGGCGGAUGAUCAUGGUUGUCAAUUAGUGCUCAGUCUUGGAAAACAAUGAUACAACUAACCAAGGAAAAAUAGACUUGCUACUUAAAUUGGUUCCUAAUUAAAAAAGUAGAUCCUUUAGUUCUCAGAUAUAAAGAUGGUACAACAAGAGAGUUCAAACAAUGACAUCUGUUCUUCUAAACAAACAAAUUCACUAUGUUCUUCAGAGCUCGAACAUGACAUAUAGCAAGUGAAUUAGAUAGCCACGUGAGCCUUAUCUAGCAAAACAGCUCGUGCGUUGCAACAGGUUCGCUACGGAGCAAACACUUGGUCCUUCCUUCUGUGAGUCGGUGACGGAUAACAUCAAGUCAAAUGAGAUCUUCGUCUGCACCUCUGGUCGCACACAAACACUGACCAUACAUGACCAGUAGACAACACAAACAUAGAAGCUUUCACACAAAUGGAGUGGGCUAAUUUUACAUACUUCACACAGAUUGAUAAUACUUACCGCAUAACCUUCAUCAGAACUUCACUUAUUUAAUUUUCGCAAACAACAUCAAGCAAUUGUAUAUACCAACGAAAGGAACAACAUUUAUGGUAACGAAGACUAUUCAGUCAGUCUCGGAGAACAAUUUAUAUGUACACCAAGAUAAGAACAACAUGACAGGACUCCUUUAGAAGCAUAAGAUAGUCCAACAUGUGCAAAAACAAUUACAAUAUCUUCCUAAUUUAUCCAUGAAUUUUGCAAACUAACCAUCUUAGUCUCCUGUCAAGCACAGCACACCAAAAGCAAGUGAAGAUGACUCUAGUUGCAUACCUAGAGUAAAAACCAUAAAGCCUACGUUUUAACAACUCCCCGAGUCCAAGCUGAUGUGACAUAUAAUGUAGUUGGCUGGUUUCUUUAACCUAAUACAAUUAACUCUUCAGCUUGAGCGUGUAUCUUAGAAAUGCAUCAGCAUCAGUUUACAAUCUGACCAAGUUUCGAAUAAGAACCGAAGUUUAGCAGACACAAAACUUAUAAAUUACUGCAUGCUUCUUCAUGUUGUGAGCCAUAUAAUAUUUUUCAGUUAGUCCUAUCCUCUCAAGAAACAUAGAGACCGAGUUAUUAUGUGAAAGUAGAUACUUAAAAGCAUGAAGCAUGUGAACACCCAUCUGCAGUAAAGUGUAUCCUAAAGUAUAGGAUAAAGCAUUAGCUACUAAUACAUGUAGGAACUCCCCAAGCAGAAGAAAAUCAAAGAGACUAAUAAAAACACUUUCUUCCUUGUCAAUUUUUACUUAGUGGCUCUGAAGAACUAUUGCUACCAACCCUGAAGCAAUAUUACAUCUGCAUCAGUAGAAAAUGAAGGUUAAGUUGUACGCAAAGGAAGAAAUUGAUUGGCGAUAAGCUCAAGAGUGGAUUUUUCUAAAUGAAAUAGCAAUUAAAAUGGUCUUCAUUUUAGCAAUAUCUUCUUUAAUUCUUUUGCUUGGUCUGUCAUAUCAGCAGUGCGUUGUAAGAGGCCCAUCACGUUUUAUUAUAUCUGAGCAUACCAAAAAAUCUAGCUAUGAAGUUUGACCUCUCCAAACCAUGAUUGAAUAGCGUGACUCAUCUCUACUUUUGCGGUAUACUGGAAGUCCAAUCCUAUCUGCAUUCUAGCUUGAGCGUGGAUGUGACAUUGUAGAAACAUGAACGGUUUGCCACAUGGAUAACAGGAAAUGUAUUAGAAGAAUAACAUACUCUAUAUUUUCUGAUUGUACAUUAUUUAUCUGAGGAAGUUUCUUGGCAGCCAGCAAAUAUUUGAUGAACAAUCUUAGGUUACUGCGAAAAAGAAACUGAGGAUCCCCAUAUCCAAAUUAGAUAUCCCCAUUUGGCCAGAUCUUUACCUAAAGAAGCAACAUCCAUUAAAAUAGAGGAAGCAUUCGGUGACUGGCUAAUUACCUCCAGUAGCAGAUGCAAGUGUGCUAGUAGGGGGCGGGCCUUGUUGAUCAGACAUGGCAGGUUGGCCAGGGCUAUGUUGAGUCUGAGCGAAUAGCAUAUGCAUCCAUAGCGUCGCUCGGCGAUGUCUUCAGCCGCGACGAAGGUCUUAGCUGCAGCGGCGGACUCGACCUUAUCUUCAGGUGCCUCGGAAGGCGAGGAGUAUUGCAACGGCCUUGUGGGAAAAGGGUCACAACAUCUGCGCUAAUCCCAACAGCCAGAUUCCCUCCCUCUCAGCUCCAGCGACGACUGCACUAAGCAAACCCUCUGUAUCUUUUAUGAGAAGUAGCUCCUGACCAACAAUACCUGAAGAAGAACACCAUUGAUGCAAGUCAUCGAAAAUUACGACUAACAAAACAAAGCAUCAAACCUAUUCUGUUGUAAAUCAUCGGGUGGGUGGCGACACUCCAUGUUUGAAUACAUACCUGAACAUGGUGAGAUAAAAUGGUUUUAUUUUUGUGAUGAGAUCAUUUUGUCGACAGACUCAUAAGUCAUGAUACAACCUUAGUGUCAUGUUAUACAAAUUUCCAAAAUACCGAAUAGCUUCCGUGAUCAAAUCUGGAGCAAAGGAAAGAGAGGAUGCACACAGCUCAUUAUGCAAAACAUGAUCGAUAGACGUACAAUGAUAGUCAUCCACCCUCCCCAAAGUAAGUAGGGAGUUAGCAUAAAUAGCUAGUUAUUGAUAUAAUUUAGCUAAUCUAGUCACCAUAAGUAAGAACAAUAUUCUUCCGCGGUAAUAACACAAGCUCAAUUGCAGCUGAAACAGAGCCGACACAUCAGAGGCCAGAUCAAACAAUUUGAUGGUGAUGCUAUUUAGAGCGAGUGUUUUUCCUGUAGAAUACAUGAGUCAUUUGGAGCGAAAUUUGAGGACGCCUGCACACUGUACUAUUUUCUGAUGUAUUGUAUCAAUAUCAUGGAGCUGCCUAUAAUGAUGCUUCUGUCAAUUAAUUCACUGGAUAGAUGUACAGCACAACAACCUCGGCGCAUAAUUAAAAUAUUGUUAAGGCAGUCUACCCAGUGAGAUUAAUACACUAUCUACCUAGGACACAGGAACGAGGAAUGAAGUACACCAUGGAGGGGUUUCCCUCUAAAAUAAUCUUGCAACACAAACAAAUGAAAGAUGCUUUAUCUUAAGCAGAACCCACAAAAUUUAUCAGGGGUGAGAACAACUCUAAUUUGGAUGAAACUUUUGUCAAUUUUUAUGUACAAGUUACUGCUAGAAUACAGCAGCAGAUCCCUGAUGAACAACUGAAAGAAAACUACACCCAAAGCCACCAUUGGCGUUUCGCCCCACCACCAGCCCCAGCCCAACAUCAACUCAGGCAAUACAGUCGCUAAUCGCUGGUAACACAAACGAAUCUACAACCAAAUCAACCAAAACGGGGUUCACUUCUUUGAAAUCCCCACCCCAAUCCAACAUUCCAAGGAUUAACACGCCGCAAUACAGGCGAGACCGCACAAAUAGGAUCAACGGACAGCUAGGACUCCGUCGACGGGCACUACUUGGAGGGAGUUGGCCUUGACGUAGUCCCACACGAUCUCGAGGACGCCGGAGCAGGAGAUGUUGGGGGCGUCGCCGAAUUUGCUCAGGGUAUCGGACACCGGCACCGGCCGCAUGAUCCCGCGGAGGUUGUUCGGAUCGACCGGGCCCUUCUUCUUGACCGCCUUGGGUUUCACGGCGUCCGUUCCGCCUCCCUUCGCCGCCGCCGCUGCAGGCUUCUUGCGUCAGCCGCCGCCGCCGAGGACAUGAAGGACCGGCACCCACGGAGCACCGUGUACGCCGCCGUCGACAUCGCCGUGGGAUGGGUGGGUGGGUCGCUCCGCUUCGCCGGGGAGUGGGGGGAAACAUUUUGUCAGAUCCAGUUAAAGGGACUGCGGGUUGAAUGUCAUAAAUAGCAAGGGCUUUUUUGUAAAAUCAUCACGGCGGGUUUUCCGACAGAAACAAUAGCCUCUUUAUUAUUAGGUAAAGAUAAAGAUUCCUUCCUUUGUUUUUUUCCUUUCUUCCUUUUUCCUUUUUUGUCGUUUCUGUUUUUUUCUCUUUCCUUUUUUUCCUUCUUCUUUCUCGUAUGAUGAUUUUGUUUCAAAUUCAUGAUUUUUUCUUUAAAAUUGAUGAUUUUUUUUUUCAAAUUUGAUGUACGUUUUUUCAAAUUCGAUGAUUUGUUUUCGUAAAUUUUGAAGAUUUUUUUCCAAACUUGAUGAACUAUUUUCAAAUUGCAUGAAAUUUUGAAAAUCAUUUUUUUAGUUUCGUUGAACAUUUUUCAAGUUCGAUGAACUUUUUCCAAAUUCGAUGAACUUUUUUUCAAAUUCGGUGAACUAUUUUCAGAUCCGAAGAACUUUUUUAAUCCAUUAUUUUUGUCAAUGUUGAUGAAUUUUUUCAAAAUUGUUUGACUUUAUUCAAAUUUGAUGAGUUAUUAUACAAAUUUGGUGAACCUUUUCUCAAAUCAGAUGAACUUUUUUCAAAUUCAUUGAUUGUUUUGUCGAAAAUACAUGAACAUUUUUCAAAUUCAAUGAACCUUUUUUCAAACUUGAUGAACUAUUUUCAAUUUUGAUAAUUUUUUUUAAAAAUCAGUUUUUUUAUUCCACUGAAUAUUUGUCAGGUUCGAUGAACUUUUUCAAAUUUGAUAAUCUUUUUUCAAAUUUGAUGAACUAUUUUUAGAUCCGAUGAACUUUUUAAAAAUCCAUUAACUUUUCAAAACUUUUUCCAUUAUUUUAAAAUUUGUGAACUUUUUCUAAAUCUAUGAACGUUUUUUGAAAUCAGUUAACUUAUUUGAAAAUCGGGGAACAUAUUUUAAAAUUCGUGAAUUUUUUUCAAAAUCAAUGAACUGUUUUUGCUCAAAUUCGAUGAACUUUUACAUUUUCAUUUUUUUAAAAAUUGAUGAACUUUUUUAAAAUCUGUUGAACUUUUUUUUAUUCAAAUUUGAUUAACUUUUUUCUUCAAAUUUGAUGAACUUUUUUCUUCAAAUUNNNCCUUCGAAGAAUCAGCCGUCGAUUGUGUUUCCAAGCAGUUUUUUGAUCGGCUCCAUGAUCCAUCCCAGGUACCCGCACAUGCAAGGGGGCGCGUCGUCUUGCCGUGCCGCCG